This 51531-nucleotide long non-coding RNA is filed under the name Marmota monax (woodchuck). The record is from RNAcentral. Lineage: Eukaryota; Metazoa; Chordata; Mammalia; Rodentia; Sciuridae.
AAGAAGUUUUCCAGAAGGCUAAAUCACAGUCCUCCCCAGUCAAGUUCCCGAUACAGAGAAAAUAGGUGAUUUCAUUAAAUCAUACUCAAUGUUUAGACUUUGAGAUUGUCUUUUAUAAGAAUGUAUAGUCUUUGAUUAUCUUUUACAUAAGGGCAAGUAAUGUCUACUCUUUUAUUUAUCCUGGAAAGUAUAACUAGGUCCUUCUCUACAAAGAAAAAUCUAGAUCAUAUUUGUAUAGCUUGGAAAGAUUGAGAAUAAUAUUUGACAUUUAUUAUUUAUUGUUUAUUAUUUUUAUUUCUAACUUCAGAUUGCAGGGGAAUCCAACUACUUUUUGCUUAAAUUAAUUUUUCCCUUAUGGUUUCAGCAGUGUUAGUAUAUACAUGUAGUACAUGCCUGAUUAUAUGUAUAAGACUAUUUGUACUGUAUGUAAUGUAAAGACAGGUAUAGAUGCCUUUAUGUACAGAUGACUAAUUGUGUAGAUGUAGAUGUGUAUAAGAUUAAGGUUAUGCUGUUAAAAAAGUUUUUCCUUUUAAACAUUUUUAGAGUACUUAAAAGUUUUCUGGUAGUUCCCAUACUUGUAUUAUGAUGGUGAGAUAAAAAAAAUGAUGUUACAAGAAUUAAAUGCAACUUUUUGCGUUUAGAGAUUUCUACCCUGUCCACUUUAGCUUUAUUUACAUAAAAGUGAUCAUAUAUCUCUAGAAGUCGUGAUGAGAGGAAAAAAGAUGAUCGUUCUCGCAAAAGAGAUUAUGAUCGAAACCCUCCUCGAAGAGAUUCAUACAGAGACCGGUACAAUAGAAGACGAGGGCGAAGUCGCAGUUACAGCAGGAGUCGAAGUCGGAGUUGGAGUAAAGAAAGGCUUCGCGACAGAGAUAGAGAUAGAAGCAGGACUAGAAGCAGAAGCAGAACACGAAGCAGGGGUAAAUAAUACAAGUUUAUAUAUUUUUUGGUUAGCAUUUUUUUACUGUGAAAAAAAUUCACAUUAUGGGUUUUUAAAAAUUGUUCAACAUUUUGCCAAUUUUAUCUUUAUUUUUGUCUGUUAUGAUGUAUUCUGUGGUCUAAGUGUAUAUUUUAAAACAGAUUACUUUAAAAGUUUAUUCCAUGAAAGUUAAAACCAUAAUUAUCACUGUACAUUUAGCAGGAUAUCUACAGCAAAAGACUGUAUUCAUUCUUUGAAUGUAGACUACUUAAGUGGCUAUUUGGAAAACAUUUUGGCGGAGUCUUAAAAUGUUAAAUGUGCAUCUAAUAAAGGACCCACCCAUUCCACUCUUAGAUAUUUACCUAAAAGAAAUGAAAGCAUGUGUUCACACAGAUUUGCAUAUAGAUGUUCAUGGCAGCUUCAUUUGUAAUAGCCCAAACUAGAAACAACCCCAAUGUCUAUGAGUAGUUGGAUAAACACAUAGUUGUACCAUAACAUGGAUAAAAAGGGGGAAAAAAAAAAAAAAAAACUAUUGAUACAUUUAACAAAGUAGAUCAAUCUCAAAGUAGUUAUGUUGAGUUGUUGAGUGAAAGAAUACAGGUAAGUAUAUAUACAUAUAUGGUGUGUGCAUGUGUGUAUAUAAUAUAUAUAUAUAUAUAUUUUAGAAAAUAUAAGCUUUGAUGACAAAAAGCAAAUAAUUAUUGCCUAAGAUGAAGUAGGGAAGAAUGGAUUACAGAUUACCAGGGACUAUGAGUGUAUUUUGGAGGUAAUGAGUAUAUUUAGUUUGAUUAUGGUGGUGGUUUCAGAGGUAUAUACAUGAAUCACAACUUUUUACAUUGUAUACUUUACAUUUAGAUUUUUAUUUAUCAGUUAUACCUCAGAACUAUAAUAGUUUAAAAGUUUUAUUUCAGAUGUGUAUAUUUGCAAGAAACUGUCAUUUCCAACUUGUGAUCCCCCUCCCUGUCCCCAGUAUAUACUAUUGAAAGAGAUAUCUGACUAAAACAUCUUUGAAUAAAAUACUUAAACUUAUAUUUUUGUUACUUUUAAUACUGUUAAUGUGCUUUGUUUGAGCCCUGAACUUGUUUAUUCUUUUCUUAUAGCCUUUUCUUCUGUGAGUAGGUAUACUAGGUUCUUCACACAUUUUGCCAGUUAACCUCUUUAAUGUAUUUUCUCUUGCUUGGAAUCAUAUACAGCCUAGUUUUCUUUAUAUUUAAUAUGAACUCCUUUGUUUUCCCUCUUUUGCUACCAGGAAUUUAACCCAGGGAUACUUAACAUUGAGCCAUAUUCCCAGCCCAUUUUCCUUUUUAUUUUGAGACAGGGUCUCACUAAGUUGCUCAUAGUCUCUGUAAGUUGCUGAUGCUAGUCUUGAACUUGUGAUCCUCCUGUCUCAGCCUCCAGACUCACUGGGAUUAUAGGUGUAUACUAUCAUCCCUGGCUCUAUUAUUUUAUAAAAUAUUGUGUUCACUAUAAAAAAGCCAUAUCUUUAGGUGGAUAAUAAGAAAAUAUUUAUCACACGAAAAAUAGCCAUACUUUUUAUUAAAUACUUUGUUUUAUAGGCUGCAAUUAUACAUACUAGGAUUGCAAUGAAGGAAAUAACAAAUUUGGUUUUUUGUAUAAACAAAAUGCAUAGGAAAAACUCAUUAAAUACUGCAUUUUCAGGUAGUUUUAUAGUUUAGUUCAUAUUGAAAUAACUUACCUUGGAACAGUGUGUAUUAAUUGAAUAGUUUUUAAAAUAAAACAAGGAUUGUGCAAAAUUUAAACUUUCUCUAUGUUUAGCAAAAAUAUUUCUUAUAUCUUGUACAUUUUUUUUUUUAAUAGGGUGUAGUUUUAUAAGUCAUUUAUAUUUUGUUUGCAGAAAGGGAUCUAGUAAAACCUAAAUACGACCUGGAUAGAGCAGAUCCAUUAGAAAAUAAUUAUACUCCAGUGUCUUCGGUACCCAAUAUCUCUUCUGGCCACUAUCCUGUACCUACUUUGAGCAGCACCAUUACCGUAAUUGCACCCACUCAUCAUGGUAAUAACACUACUGAAAGUUGGUCUGAAUUUCAUGAAGACCAGGUGGACCAUAACUCUUUUGUAAGACCACCAAUGCCAAAGAAAAGGUGUAGAGACUAUGAUGGUAAGUGUUUUUCAACUGUUUCAUAAAGUAUUAAAUUAAUACUUCAGCUUCCUAACUUCUUUCAGUUGUAUAGUUAUUCAGACACUUAAUUUCUGGUAGUAGAAAUAGUCAGAAAUCAGUUUUUAUCAUCUCUUAAGUUCCCUAAUAUUAUUGUACUUUGAUCAGUCACCUCUGAUAACUUAGUAUCAGCUUAAAAAUAGUAUUUAUUUGUAUGUAAGUCUUAAUAUAUUGUUCAAGUUUACCAAAUAAGAAUAAAUAUCUACUGAGUUAUUUUUAAAGAAAUUGGCUACUAAAACAUUUUUGGCAAAACUGACUUCUUUACAUAUGAGUGAUUGUUCAAAUGUAAAAAGGAUCUUGACAUAUGAGACUUUUAUGAGAAUUGAAGACUUAUAAGGAUUUGGUGUAAAAAUUUUAUGAGUAGGGCUAAAACCAUAGUCACACUAUUCUUUUAGUUUUAAACAAGAGAUUUAAAUGAAGAAUAUGUUUUUAAUAAGAAAAACACACUAGAAAUUAUAUCAGUUUUAUGUUAUUUGCUAACUGGGUAUACUUAUUUUAAUUCUGGUGAUUUUUUUAAGUGUAUAUGUUAGAUGUAUUUUCACUUGAUUAUAUUACUGGAAAAGUGCAGAUUAUUCAUGUGAAGUGGUUAAUUAAUUACAUUUUUGCCCAAUAUUUAAAACAGUCACCUUGUAAGUAUUUUAGUUUUCUUAACUUAGAGACAAUUUAUAUUUCCCGUGCUUUUCACAUUUCUUUUUAACUUUCCUCACAGAAAAGGGUUUUUGUAUGAGAGGAGACAUGUGCCCUUUUGAUCAUGGAAGUGACCCAGUAGUUGUAGAAGAUGUCAAUCUUCCUGGCAUGUUGCCUUUCCCAGCACAGCCUCCUGUUGUUGAAGGACCACCUCCUCCUGGACUCCCCCCACCUCCACCAAUUCUUACACCCCCGCCUGUGAAUCUCAGACCCCCAGUGCCACCUCCAGGUCCAUUACCACCCAGUCUCCCACCUGUAACAGGUCAGAAGAUAUGUUUGUUUGUCUGUGUUUAUUAUCUGUUUGUUUAUACUCUGUUUAUAAAGUCAAUAGUUUGAUACUUGCUUUUGUUAAAAGCAUCUAAAGAAUGUCCAUAGAUGCCUAAUAGAAAUUAAGCAAUAUAUUCUUAUUUGGAAUAUACCUACAUGUUGCAUCCUAUGCCAAACACUUUUCUGUGGUUUGGAAUGACCUUGUGAAUUAUGUAUGUCACUGAUAUAUCCCAUCUACCUUUAGUCCUUUAUAGUUUAAAGCAAACCUCUUUUGGAAUACGUUAAAAGGAUGAUGUGCCAUAGAAAACUAGUUGUAAGAUUUUGGUGUUUGUAGAAGAUUACAGUUUGAUAAAUGAGAAUAUCAUGUUUGGAUAUAUAAUAAUUUAUUUUAUUUGUUUGCUUCCAGAUGAUAUUUCUUAUUCUUUGGUUUUGACAGGACCACCACCUCCACUUCCUCCUUUGCAGCCAUCUGGCAUGGAUGCUCCCCCAAACUCUGCAACCAGUUCUGUUCCUACUGUAGUAACAACUGGCAUUCAUCACCAACCUCCUCCUGCUCCACCCUCUCUUUUUACUGCAGGUGCAGUUUUGGCCCUCUAUUUUCAUAGUGUAAUAUAGUUUUAAAGCAGAGUUUUUAGAUGAGGAAUUUAAAAAUCUCUAGAAAGUUCAAUGCUGUCUCAGGACAGUUUUUCUUACUAAAAUAAAAUAGGAUACAAUGUAUUCUUGGUGAAUAUAUAUCAAAUAAUCCCUCAGGUAUAAUUAUUAAGAAAAUUGCCAGUUUUCUUCUUAGGACUUUCUAUAAAGCUUUUCAUUUUAAUAAUAUAAAACAUGUUAAGUUUUAUGUUAGUAAUGUUAUCCAGUUACUUUUUCUAUUAUCAGUAUUUUAAAAAUUACCACAUGGAGUUUUAUAAUUGUUUUUUAAUUACAGUUUUUGUAUUACCAGAUACAUAUGACACAGAUGGCUACAAUCCUGAAGCCCCAAGCAUAACAAACACUUCCAGACCUAUGUAUAGACACAGAGUGCAUGCACAAAGGCCUAACUUGAUAGGACUAACAUCAGGGGAUAUGGAUUUACCACCAAGAGGUACUGAAUCUUCUUAUUUUUAUGAUAUCAAAGUGGGAAAUCAUUUAUAAAGAACAAUUACUCCUGCAGUUAUUUGGGUUGAGUUAGGGAUGGUGAUUUUGUUGCCUGAAUCCUUUGGUCUCACAUGAGAAAAAAGGAAAUGUGUACUUUUGUAUCUGUAUUAUAGGGGCCUUUAUUCUGUUAAAGAGGGAAAUUUCCCAAAAGUAUGUUUUUCUCAGGUAGCUUUUUUUGGGGGGAGUUUCUUACAUUUUAUUCAAUUUGUAGUCUUAAUUGGUUCAUUUAAAUUCCUGACAGUAAUGCUUUAAUUCCUUAAUUCUGUCCUCACUUGGAUAAUGAAAUUAUCUUUUCAAACUUGUGCUGAUGUAUAUUUUUAUUUUUGUUCACUUUUGAAAUGUUAAAAUCCUGUAUAGGUUUGCUUAUGAUAUUUUUAAGCAGCAGGAAUUGUGUUAGGAAGUGACUCAUUUUUAAAAACGUUUAGAUAAAAUUUCUAAAAAUUAGACUGAUCCCAUCACAGGCCAGGGCAUCAAGAAAAGUGCUAAACUAGAGGUAUAAAUUGUUAAGUAAGUUUAGAGGAAGGACAGAGUUCACACUAAUUUGAAAGAAAAACAUUUGCUACCGAUAACAUUUGAUACAGGAAAACCAAGGAAUUACCAGAAGUAAUAGAGACUGUUUACCUGGAAUUAACUUUAAAACCUCAAGUGUAUUCCAGGCUUUUCUUCUGUCUUACUUAGCCAGACUAAACAAAAUCAAAGCUCAUUGGUUGUGAAUAAAAGUUCAACCUAAGUAACAAUCGUUGCCUAAAAUGUGGUUUAAUAAACUGUGGUUACUUAUACUUUGUGCUUUUUAUUUGUUCAUUGGCAGCUAUCAAUCAGAUUCUGAACAUCUUUCUUAAAUUUGAAGAACCUCUUGUGAUGGGAGUGUGAGGAAUAUUUUAAUUCAAAUUUAUAUUCUCUUUGAGAUUAGAGGAUAUUUAAUAUAUAUGCCUAUAUUCUCACAUCUGUCUUUAAAAUUCACCUCAAGGCAUUACAAUAAUUACCAUUACCAUUAACAACAGUAGAAAAAAGAUUUUAAAGAUAGUUUCUGUGUAGUAAUAUGUAAAUUGUUAUAAUUGAAAAGUAGACAUUUAAAAUUGUAGCUAUUUGUGAUAUUUACCCAUCUUCUGCAUGCCUCUCCUGUCUGACUAGUUUAUAGAAAUCCCCUUUCCUUCCUUAGGUCACUAUUUAACACUUACUUUCUUUUCUUCAUGCUAAUAUUCCUUGCUCUCUUGAUACUUCAAGUCAUGUCUUUCUUACCUUGUUGAUUUGGAAUGGCAUAAAUAUAUGCCACUAUAGAUUAAUAUAUAUUAGACCCAUUCUAAUGACAGACUGAUUUCUAAUUGUGAUUGAAAGAAGGAAGAGCCAUUAGAACACUUGCAUAUAAUUUUUACUAUGUAGAAUUUGGAGUUAAUGGUAAUUUUAACUAUUUCUUUCUUGUUAAUUUCAACUCUUAAUGCAUAUAGUUAUAAGUUACAGGAAGUGAUGGAGAGGUAAAUGUCUUGCAGUCUGGCAUCAUUACUUUGAAACUUGAAUGCCUUUUCUCAUAUAAACAUUGUAAUUCAUAGUGAUUAUUUUAGUACUCUUCUUUACAUUGUGCACUAUUUUUGUGAGCUAAUUUAUGGAUAUAUUCUACAUUAAUAACAUUGUUAUUAAUGUACCAAACAACUGACUUUGUAGCCCAUUUAAAUUGAGGAUUGCCUGUACUUCUGUUUUCAUGUCUUUUUUCAGUAUUCUCUUUCAUCCGUAUGUUCUCAUCUUUCUCCUAUUUAGGUUUCAAAUGUACUGUUCUGGAUUAUACACAUUUACUGACUAUGUACCAAGAGGAACUUGCAUCUUUAUUUUUAACACCUUUCUUUUAAGUAAAUAUUAAUGAAAGGGAAUCUGAGUGAGAGAAUAAAGGUGAAUUGGCACAAACCCAUUUCAGUUACUGGAAGGAAAACACUACCAUCUCCUUUAGUGAGUUUUCAGAUAUAGAACAUAUUCAAGUGAAAAAACAAUAUUGGAGAGCUCAAAGAUUGUCCAAAAGGGCCAGUGAGCCGGAGAUAGGAAACAGGAAUAAGACUAAAAAUCUCACUGCAGAAUUGGUCAUGGUUCUAGUGGGUGUAGAAACUGCUGCUUGCGCUAUGACCAUUAUUAAUGCAAGUCAGAGAUUUCCACCUGAUCUUCUGUGGAGAUGGAAGAUAAAUCAACUAGAGUAAAGAAAUAGAUAAAGAAUGUGCACUGUUUAUAUGAUAUUUUUGAGAAACUGAAAGAAUUUGUUUUUGGAAUAGGAAGAAAGAGAUAUGGAGGGAGUCAAGAGGCCAGUUGAGGCAUUUAAAGAAUUCUGUAGUAGAGGUGAUAGUAUCUGGGUUAGGGUAAUAACAGUGGGAAUUGCUAAAAUAGGUUUAAUAGAAUUGACAUUUACAACUUGCUGACUUGUGUGUGGGGUAUAACAUAGAACAAAUGGAAAGGAUAAAAUUAGGUACCAGAUUUCUGCCCUGGAUAAUUAGGCAAAUGAUAAUAUCAUUCACUGAGAAGAACGGAUUUGUUAGGAAGAUAAAUUUAGUUUUGGAAGUUUUUAAUUAUUGUGCCUAUCAGUUAUUUGAGUAGAAAUAUUCAGUAGGAGGUAGGAUUUAGAAGUAUGAGGUCCAUGAGAGAUAGCUCACUAGAAAAUAAAGAUGUUUGAAGUCACAAAUAUGUAGUACAUUGGCUUUUAAUCUUCUGUCAUAUUAGUAACAGUGUGAAGGUAAGGGAAGAUCAAAGAAGCUGUAACAAAGUUUGCAAGUUUGGCUGAAUAUAAGUUCUAAAACCCUUUUUUUGUGUUUCUGAUAACUAUCCCCAUGCCAGCCGCACAUACACAGCCUACUCCCAAGAAUCAUUGAAAAAGAUGAAUGAAGCCAUGGUAAUGGAUACAAGAUGUCCUAGAGACUGCAUAGAGUGAGAGGAGAAAGACCAAAUAAAUAGGGGAAGAUACAUAAGGGACUGAAAAAAAUGAAGCCCAAAGGGUACAAGAUAAAAGCAAUGGGUAGGAAUUUCUGAAAAUACAGUGAGGAUAAUAUCUAAGGAGAGGAAGGUGAUCAACAACAGCAAGUGCUCCUUAAAAGUCAAGUAAGAGGAAGACUGAGAAGUAUUCAUAGACCAAGCAACAAGUUAUGACAUCAUUGAUCUUAGUAUGAGCAAGUUAAGUGCAAUAAUGGAAGCAGCUGUCAACAUUCAGAGGAUUAGUGAGUGAGAAAAGUAGGUAGUAAGGAAAUAAAGUUAGCCAAGAGUAGAAUUCUCUUAGGAAAUGGCUGGGAAUGAGAUAUGGAGGGACUAACAGAGAGAGAAGAGAAAGUAGCUGAAGGGGAGAUUUGUUUUAUAGGAUUUUGUUUGUAAAAAUGGAAUAAUUUGAGGUGUGGAAUUAAGUGUUUAUGUGUUGAUGAGAAGUGCCAGUGCCAUGAGAAAGGUAGAAGAAGAUAAAAAGAAAAACAAUCGGGCUCUAGAGUAUUGAUUUUGGGCCUCCUUCUGUAUAGAUUAGUUGACAGCGAGAAAAAUCUAGAAGCAAAAAGUCCACGUAGAACAGACUAGAAGAAAGUAAGGCAGUUUUGUUCCAAGGCUCUUUUAGCAGGAAAUGUGUAAAAUAUUGAAAAUAGCUGAUAUUUAUAGCUCUUUUGCACUAUAUUUCAGUCUCAAAUAUUUUCCUUUUUAAGUGGGGACAACUUUCAUUAUAUUAAUGUUCCUCUUUAGAUAGGCAGCUCAGUUCAUUCACAACUCUGCUAAAGGUCAUUCAGUCAGUGGUAAAUUAAAAUCUUAGAUUGUACAUUUGACUUUAAAACUGAAUUUCUGCUUCAAGGUGAUUUAUUUGUAUAUUUUUAUAUGGAAUUGUGAAAGUGAUGGCAGAUGGGAGUGGUGACAUGGGUUUUACCCUUAAUGAAGUGACCUACAGACUAGUAGAAUAGAGGAGGGGAAUAGAGGAAGGUGAGAGGAGGGAAAGAGGAAGCACUAGGGACUGAAAUGGAACAAAUUAUAUUACAUACAUAUAUAAUUAUGCCAAAAUGAACCCCACCCCACUAUUAUGUAUACUAUACGGCAGUAAUAAAAACAUUUAGAGAAAAAAGUAGCUUACAAAUCACGUUUUUAUUUGGCUUUUGAGAAUUAUUGAUUAUGUUCUUGUGCACGCGCGCGCACACACACACACACACACACAAAAAGCCAGAACUUUUUAAAUAUAAAUUUAAGGAAGUAGCUAUAAAAAACUGAAAUAUUAAUCUAUACUUUCUUUCAUUUUCUUUUGUUUUAACACAGAAAAGCCUCCUAAUAAAAGCAGUAUGAGGAUAGUAGUGGAUUCAGAAUCAAGGAAAAGAACCAUAGGUUCCGGAGAGCCUGGAGUUCCUACAAAGAAGACUUGGUUUGAUAAGUAAGCUGACAGGAAAAAUUGGAGAAUUAUAUUGUACACAGAUUUUUGGGAUUAUUACUAUAUCACAAUAUGUUACAUUUUUUCUGUUCUAUAAGCAAAUCCCCAAAUAAAAUUUAAGGUUUUUUUCUAGAAAUUUUAAAGUUCAUUGUUUGGUACUAGAAAGGCAUUUUCUUGUAAAAGCAGUAUAGUGGCUAAGAACCACAUUGCUUUUUCUUCUAUCUACUUCCCCUUCCUCCAAAAGAGAUUACUCUUUACUUGACAUAUAUUUUAAUACUAGGUAUAUGAAGGGUGGUCAUGAAUACCAUAUCAUUAGGAAAAAAAGGUAUGGAUUAGGUCUGGGAAGAUCUUAGCAUAUAGGCCAUUUCUCUUUAAGAGCUAGAAAGAGUUGUUACCGGAUUUAAGAUGUAGGAAAGGUUCAGAGAAAGGUAUAAGGAAUCAGAAUGUUGGGGAGGGUGUCAUGAGUCAUUUAUAAAUUUUCAUUUGUGAACUGAGAUGAGGACCAUGCUUUUGAGCUUUAAUAUUUAAAAACACAUAGUUUCUAGUUCUGGCUUUGUGAUUAUUUCUAUGAUUUAAGGCCAACAGUACACUCUGGGUCACACUUUUGUCCCCUUUUCAAAUGUCAAGUGUAUUGUAUGUACAUUAAAAAAACAAACCUGGAAAGAGGUUGAGGUGGUCAUUAUUUGUACCAGUAACCAAUAAUAACCAAAUUUAAAAUUUAACUGAAGUUUUUAAAUAGGAUACAUUUCAGUAAACUAGCUUUGGCAGAAAUGGAACAAAAGUUAUCUGUGAAAACUGACUAAAUUGGGGUAUGAGUUAAAUGUUAAAUAAGAGCAUGUUAAAUAAGAGCAGAUCAGAAGUUUGAAAAAGUAACCAAGUAUUAUAAUAACAGAACCAUGAAAGAUGAUAACACUAUUAAUUUAGAAGCUGUUUGGAAGAUAAUUACUUCAGUUUUUAUUAAUUUUCAGUACUUUCAGUUUUGGGGGGAAAUUUGGACUUUUGUUUUAUAUUUAAAACUUUAUUCUUUUGUACUUAUAGGGCUCAGGAUUUAUAAAUGUGUUGAUCAGCUUGAUUUUUGUUUAUAGGCCAAAUUUUAAUAGAACAAACAGCCCAGGCUUCCAGAAGAAGGUUCAGUUUGGAAAUGAAAAUACCAAACUUGAACUUAGAAAAGUUCCUCCAGAAUUAAAUAAUAUCAGCAAACUUAAUGAACAUUUUAGUCGAUUUGGAACAUUGGUUAACUUACAGGUAAGAGCUAUAAAAUGAUUCUCUUGUCCCUGCUUAAUUAUUUAGGGACCUUAAUAAGAAAACCACUUUUAUAAAGCAAUAUUAUGGAAAUUUGUUAAUAUUCUAAAGUUGGGCAUUAUAAUAGUCUGUUUUCAGUUACUGUAGUGAAAUACCUGAUGCAGGCUAACCAGAGACGCAUAUUUAGCUCUUAGUUUUGGGGGCCGAAAGAUCAGGUUGUGCCAUUGGCUUGUCCUCUAAUGAGGGCCUAAGGGUGGAUGGUAUUACGAAAUGGGAAUACAUGUGAGAAGAAGUGAUUACAUCUCAAAACAUGAACUGAUGCAGUCGUGCUUGCUAUUGUGAGAGCUCAGAGAUCCACAAGAACUAUCUAAACAAAUUCCUUAACCCUUCUAAGUGCUGUUCCCCUGAUAACCUAAAGAACUCCCAUAAGGCCCCACUUCUUAAAGGUUUACACUAUGUCCCAACAUCAUUACACUAAGAAUAUAGGCUUCUAACACAUGAAUGCUUAAAGGGACACACUCAUCCCAUAUCCAAACCACAGCAGACAUGAAAUGAAACUACCUUUUAGAGAAAAAAAAAAAAAAAAAAAAGAUUGAUUGAUAAGUUGUUGAUUUAUACACUGAGUUAUAUCUCCUGCCCUUUUGGACUUUUUAUUUUGAGAUAUGGCCUUACUGAGUUAAGUUCCUCAGUCUCCUUCGUUGCUGGAGGGCAAGAAUUUUGAUUGAUGAUAUUAGUAUAAAUAUUUUACCUAAUAAAGGAUGACACAAAGUUAAAUAAUCACUCUACUAAAAUAUAAUUUAGUAGUUUUCAGUUCCUGAGUUUUUCUAGAUCAUAUUGUCAGAAUCAUUUCAGCAAAAUCAUUUGAGCAAAUAUAUUUCUGUAAUUUCUGUGAUUGGAUGCACUUAACAGUUAAUUUUGGGAACCAGUGUCAUAAUUUGUAACUAAUUUAAACAUGUACUUUUCUCUACCACUUUUGAACAUUCUUUAAGAAAAACAACAAUAUAAGUUAUGUUUGAUGUCACUUAAAAUUUGUCCUUGGGUAUAUAAAACUUGGGAGAUUUUUAAGUAUUAUUUAACUUAUGUGACAUGUUGAAAGUGUUGUUUUCCCCCUUAUGCCUACUUUUCAACUAAAUUGUUUUAUAAUCUAAUAAAAUAAAUUUUAGAGGAUAUAGCUCAUUCUGAGUUGAUCUUUAGAAACUUUUCUUUUAUAAAGCACAGGUAUAAAAGUAAUGGAGGGGAAAAAAUGCAUGUACAGAGUAGAGCAAUAGAAAUGAAUGCAGAAUUUUAAGGAAAUGUUUUCUUUUUAACUUGAUGUUUUCCACACAUUUCUCUACCCAUAUAAAAUAAUAUAAUUGUUAUAAUUUAUCAUUUGCUGUUCUAGAUUGUUUUUAUAUACCUAUUGCUGUGUACAUGCAAAAAUUUUAAAAAUGUUUAUGGGUCCAUAGUAUGUACAUUACCCUGUAGUUAUUUAUAGUUAUUUACUUUGGAAUAUUUCAGUAUCUUUUUAUGGCAGUUCAGUUUACUCUACCACAUUUAUAUCUAGACAUAAAAAAGUUUUCAGAAUAUUCCUUUUUUCAUACAAACUUCUGUGGUUGAAUGCAUUUAACAGAUAAUUUUGAGAUAUACAAAAUUAACUACACUGGUAAUAUUAAUUUAAAAAUUGUUUCAAAGCAAAACAUGGUAUCUCCCUAUUGUUUCUGUUUGCAUUUAUGUAAUUACUAAUGAGGUUAAUAUCUUAUUUUUGUUGUUCCUUUCCUGUGUCUUCAUAGUACUUGCAUUAUUAUGAUUUACAAAAUACAUGUUUUGCAAAAUCAUUAAAAGUACCCUUGUUAUCAUAAUUAAAAAUUGAUGUUAUUCUAAUAAAUGUUAUAAUUAUUAAAAUGCCACCUAAAAUUAUUUUUAUAGUUUUAGCUAAUAUUUAUUGAAUAUGUGCUCUUUUUAAGUGUUAUUGCUGUAUUCUUAAAACAACACUAAUAAGUGGGUAUUGUUGUUAUUAUUUAUAGAAGAGGACACUGAGGCACAGAAAGAUUAAGUGACUUACUUGCUCUUAUGUGAGAGUCAAAUCAGGAUUUGAGCCAGGCAGUGAGAUUCAGACCAUGCUGUUAAUCUCGAUCCUUUACUGCUGUUGCCUGUGGCUUAUAUACCACACUUUCGAAAAUACUGCUAUUACGCAAGAAUAGGAAAUUGGGAGUGAAAAUCUUGGAUUUUUUUUUUUUUUAUUAGUUGUAUGAGUCUAUCUCUAGAAACAUUCUUUGAAUCUGUUUCCUAUGUGUCAAAUGUGAUUGAUGGUGCUGUUAUAUAGGUCUUUUUAUUUUCUUCUGAUCUUAGAAGUAUUGUGAAAAUUACAGAUUUGAAAUAUUGUACAGAUGUUUUUUUCUAUGUUAUUUAGUUGGAAAUCACCCCUUCCAAAGUAGUCUUUGCCAUCACAUUCAUUGAUGUACAGAAAUUUUUUCUCUUGGUCUGUAUUAAAAUUUGAGGUAAAAAGAGAAAUAGUUUUAAGGGUCUGUAUAUAAUAUUUGUGCAAUCAGCUUUGCUGGUAAACAAGAGUCUCUUUUAAUGCACUAACAAUCCUUGGCUAUUUACUAUUUCUCCUGAAAUAAAAGUAGACUAUGGUCAUACUUUAGAUAUAAGGUAAACAAAGAUGGGCAUCUUACUUGGAAGGAAGAGUGUAUGACAUCUUGAGGAAUUUUGCUGUAUGAAGAAACAGAUUCCUUUAGAAAUUCACUUUUCUUAACAUUUUAAAUCAUAGGUUGCAUAUAAUGGUGAUCCUGAAGGUGCCCUUAUCCAAUUUGCAACAUACGAAGAAGCAAAGAAAGCAAUAUCGAGUACAGAAGCAGUUUUAAAUAAUCGCUUUAUUAAGGUUUAUUGGCACAGAGAAGGAAGCACCCAGCAGUUACAAACUACUUCUCCAAAGGUAACGAGAGAGAUUUGUGUGAAAUUGAAUGCUUUUUCCCAAGAGUUCUUAGCAUAUUGUCUAAGAACAGAGGUAUAUAUAUGAAUCGGGCGGGACUUGAGUUGAGAUCCUGACUUUACUACUGUUAACUAUAUAUACUAAAGAAAGUUACUUAAUCACUCUAGCCUGUUCUCUCAUUUAAUUGUGAAGGUAAUUCCUAGUUUAGAGAACGAGAUGGAACAGUCCUGGCAGAUAGGCGGCACUAAGUAAAUUGUAGCUAUAUAUGUAUUCCAUAAAUUUUUUUUCUGUAGUUUAUAAGUCAUUUCAUGGAAAAAAAAUGUGCAUGCAUAAAGAAAAUUGAAAGGCAUUUGAGUUUUGAUUAUAAGCUACAUUUUUAAAACUUAUUAUGCACGGAUAAUCUAGUACAGUUUUAUAACAAAGUUUUACUUUCCAAGCUCCUGAAUUAAUCAGCUUGUUUAAAAUUUUUUUUCUCCUUCUGAGGUAAUGCCACCUUUAGUCCAGCAGCCCAUUUUGCCUGUUGUGAAGCAGUCAGUUAAAGAGCGACUGGGCCCGGUACCUUCAACUACUGUUGAACCAGCAGAAGCCCAGAGUGCUAGUUCAGACCUUCCUCAGGUAAAUGGAAGGUCUUAUCUAUCAAAUAUAAAUCUAUUAUUUAUUAAUAAAUUAUCUAUUAUAAUAUUAGAUUAACUAGUAAAUUAGUUUCCCUCGGUGACUUGCAUUAUAGUUACUAUAUAUGUUUUACACAGAAAUGUGAUCUUUACAGAUUAGAAUCCCACCUAUAAGUUUUUACCAUAACAUUUUCACUGUCUUUAUUUUUCUAUUUGGUAUUUGUAUCUUAAAUUCUCCUCUUUAUUUAUCACUUGUUGAUUAGAAAGAUUUCUUUUUCACUUUGUGAAGGAUAUAUUUCUGCAAAACUGCCUGAAGAGUGAAAUUUAGUACACUUAAUCUUAUUUUUUCCAUCAUCUUUUUACUUAAUUAGAAUCCUGUUCCAGAGAUAAUUGUACUGAACUGAAAACUUUUGGGAAGGGAAGGCUUUUAAUACCUCAGGUUAAGUACGCUUGAUAUACUGUUUGACAUACUAAAGCAGGUCACUCAAAACUUUGCAUCACUUAAUCCUGACUUUGGGAUGCUCUUCUCCGUAUAUCAUUUCCUUGCCACUUCCUUAAGUGGAAUUUUCUUGUUUCUGUAUUCUCAGUCUGUGAAACUUGGCUUUCCUUUUUCUCCAUGUUUCAGGAUUUGCUAUAUAAAUAGAGUUAGGAUGUGGUAUCCUACUUAGCUAAUAGAUGACAUCUUUUAGCUAAGUAUGGGACACACAUUUUUAAGCUUUAGAAGCAGGCAUGUUUUCAUUAUCCAAAUCUAAUUUAAAAUGUGCUUUCUACUUGUUAACAUAGGGAACCCUAUCAGUGAAAGGGACUUCAGUAACCACCUGGUUCAGACCUCAUUAUUUUACAUCAUAAUUUUUCAUGAUUAAUAUUGUAUACUGUUUACUUUUGUUUUUCUACACAUAUUUCCCCCCCCCCCUUAAAUAGGCCUCAGUUUCUAUGAUUAGUAUCUGUAUACUCAUAGACUCAGUAUGUAUUAGAACCAGAAUGUUCAAGAUCCCAACAGACUUAUAUAUGUUUGGGGAAACACUGAAUAUGUCCAUUUUAAUUUUUUUAGAAUGUAACUAAGUUAUCUGUGAAGGACAGGUUGGGUUUUGUAUCAAAGCCAUCUGUUUCAGCAACUGAAAAGGUAAGAAGAAUAGCAUGAUGUGUUUGUCUUGGCUUUGUAAAUGUUUUCAGGUGGCAUCUUAAUUUUUAAUUUUUUCAUAGUUCCAAACUGCUUCUUAAUAGUAUCUGUAUCUUUUAUUCCUACCUUUUUGCUUUCCAUUUGCUGAAAAUGAAAAAUAUUAGUCUACCUUUUUUUACUUUUUGCAUCAGCAUUUUAAUACUUGCCUCUCUAUUUCCAUCUGCUCCAUUGUUUUUGUUAGUUUUUUCUUUAUAUUUAUUUUCUUUAGAGACACGAUACAUUUUAGUUAAACUCUGGCAGCCUUAUAGUAAGAGCCAUGAACUAGGAAUUUUACCUGAGUUUGAACCCUGGCUCUUUACUUACUAACUGCAUGAUGUUGGGCAGUGCUCUUAACCUUUCUCAAUCUUUUUACUCAUUGGUAAAAUGGUGAUGGUAAUAUUCAUCUUGCUCACCGGGUUUUCUGAGGAUUAAAUAAAAUCAUUUAUUUUAAAACUAUUUUGUAAACAGGAAGGGAUGAGGGAUGGCAUAAUUGUAAUUUUUUAAAAGUUUAUUACGAACAGCUAUUGAUAUAGCCUUGCAAUACAUUAGUUCUUUUUUUUUUUGAAUGAGGAGUUAAAUGCAGAUUAUGUUAAGACCAUUUAUGGAUCUGUCUGCUGUAGAUAUAUAUUUUUUUCUGUUUAGGUGUGAGUGAAUGCCUUGAUCUUUAUUUUAUUUGAGGUAUGUGAAAUCUCAUAAUAUUAGAAUUGAAUAGUCCUAAGUCCCCAGUAGACCAAGGCACAAUGGUUGUAUAGUUUGAUCUAGUUGCUGAGCCAGACUAGAAUUUGUGUCUCCUAUUUCUAGUCCAUGGCUCUUUCCAUUCUGAAGAUUACAAAGGAAAUUCACAUCGAAGGUAAAUAAAAACAUCCAGUAAGGUAAACAAAACAUCCAGUGAGAUAGCUAACCUGCUGUCAUCACUUAUUCUUAAGUAUACUAUUUCCCUCAUUUACUUUGUUAAACUUAAAUCUGAAUAUCAUUCUAUACAUCAGACCUUCCUCUUGGGCAUCUCACUGUUAUUUCAGGUAUAACAUGCCUAAAAUGAACUAUUUCCCACAUAAAUUAACUUCUCCUACUCCCUACUUAGGUGAUACUUUCAUUUUCUAAACUGUGUAGUCUGAACUCCUCAAAACUCAUGUAAUCGUAUUUGUAGUUCAUUUCUUUUUCUCUUCUCUGCAGAGUCCCUGACCUCUAAUGGUAGUGUCUGAGCUGGCAUCUUGAAAUUUCCCUUCUUUAUUUACAUGUGUCACCAUUCUGUUGUCAGACUUAAUGUUAAUUCAUUAUAGAAACUUUGAAUUUCUCAGCAAAAUUACUUUACUUGAUUUACAGCUCAUCCAUAUUUCAGUUAUUGUGGUUCGGUUUUGCUCUAGGGUUUCCUUUCUACACUGGGGAAUACUUUUCUACUUACCUUGCCCUUUUCUGCCUCCCUGCUCCCCUGUCCCCUUUUUGGUGGUAAUUUUUCUGGAUUACAUUUCCCCCUUUCUAACUUAAGUUCUAUUUGUUCUUUAGAGAUUAAAAAUCUCUUCUAACAUUUUCCAUGAAACCACCAUGUGGUGUAUCUCCUCUCCAUUUUUGUGUAUUUUAGUCUAUUCUAUUAAUGUUUACUUUGAUUAUAUUUAUCCUUCUUGAUAAUAAGUAUAUUAGGAAUUGAAAAGAACACACUGUAAGAUCUGCUAUACUUGUUUAUUGAUGAGCAAUUCUGGAGAUAUUUAAAUGCCCAGUUGUAUUCAGGAUCUGUUUAUAUCAAGAUUUAGACUCUGGAAUUGAAGUUUAUACUAAGCUUUCACAAAAUUUUAGCAGUGUGCUUUGAUGUGGUUUUCUUUAUUUUUUAAGGUCUUUCAUUUAGCAGUAGAAUAAAAUUUGGGUUUGAGAGUAUAUAUUAAUAUAUAUUAUACUAAUAUAGUAACCACUAAUUGAAUUUGUAAAAAAAAAAAAACAAAAAAACAACACUAAUGAGAAUAGGCUAUUUGUGGAAAAAAUUAUUAAUAGCAAAAAUCUUAAGGAAAACAGUUACUUAAAAGAAUGUAACAUAUAUAGUCAUCUUCAGUGAAUGUAUUUGCAGAAUAAUAUUUUUGUAUUCUUGGUUGUUUCUGUUCUACCCAAUAGAGGGUUUUGGUUCAGAAUCCUUAGAGGGCAAAGAUCCAGAGAAUCUUAGGAAGAUGAGAAGAAUGUUUCCCAUCAUCGAAUAUUAUUUAAAAGGUUUUAAUUUCUUUUUCCUAAAUUGAAAUCAGGAGAAAGUUCAAAGCUAGUAUUUGUACAAUAUCCUCUGUCAUUGUUAAAGUGAAUGAAUAUAUAAAUGAAACUUUUACAACCUUCUUGUAAAUGAUAACCAUUAAUCCUUUAGUAAUUGUUAUUUAUUCUAAGAUUACAUUUUUGUGAGAAGGCUGGGAGAGAGGAAACUUAAACCUAAUUGAUAAAGAUAUUGCAAUCGGUAUUAAGUAUUAUUUGAGUAGAUUUGAUCAUUGAAGUGAUGUUUGAGUGUUUCUGCUUAGUCUACAGAGACUUAUGAAGAAUAAAGGUUGGUGGGUGUUUACCAUCCUUGUUAGUUUUUUUUUUUUAAACUUAAAGUGUUCAAAUUAAAGUUUUAGAUAUCAAAUUUAUGAUACCAAGUUUAGUAGUAUAUUUUUUAGUCAAAAAAUAAGUCUUGAUCCCUUUGUAUUGUGAUACAUUAACAUUAGUAUCAAGGAAAAUUGUCUAGUAUAAUUGAAAGAACAUUACAAGAGUUCAGCUGUUGAUUUAGUAACUGGCAUUAUAUGUGAUGGUGAAAAAGUUUUAUUCUGUAUGCCUAACUAUAAAAUUCAGUUGUUUUCAUGACCCUUCGAUUCAUUCAUUCAUUCAUUCAUUCAUUCAUUCAUUCAUUCAUUUUUUGUGCUGGGAAUUGAACCCAGGUGUGCCUAACCAUGGAGCCAAAUCCCCAUCCGUUUUUAAAUGUUUUUUUUUAGAGAAAGGGUCUUGCUGAGUUGCUAAGUGCCUUGCUAAAUUGCUGAGGCUGUCUUUGAACUUGAGAUCCUCCUGCCUCAGCCUCCUGAGCCUCUGGGAUUACAGGUGUGCGCCACUGUGCCUGGUGACCCUUUGAUUUUUAAAUUUGAUUAUUUUUAAUAUAGUUUUCCUACUUUAAGUGAAAAGAUUAGGGAGAUUUAUGUUGUUUUGUUGGGUUUUUUCCUUUCAUAACUGUUACUGGCCAUUUUUAAUUUUAACUUUUUAGUGCAUCAUCCUUUUUAGGAUAAUUACCUGGAUUAUUUUUUCUUACAGGAAAAUAUGAUUUAUUUGGAAAUAUUUGCUGAACUUUCUGGGAAAUAAGCUAUUGUAGCAAAAAUCAACUAUUGACUAUAUACAUUUUUUUCUUUGAUAUUUAUUAAAGUACUUCCUUGUAAAAUUGUUAAGCCUUUUGCUUCUUUUAAUCCUUUUGAUAUAUGGGAUAUAAAAUAGUUGAACUCAAAAAGGGUGGUGAUUUACCUUGGAGUUGGGAGUUGGGGAGAUGUUGGUCAAAGGAUAUAAAAUGUCAGAUAGGAUGAGUAAGUUCAAAAGAUAAGUAUAAGAGAGAUUGUAGUUAACUGUAUUAUAUUAAAAUUGCUGAGAAUUAGAUUUUAAGUGUUCUUACAGCAAAAUAUGUAAGGCAAUGCAGUUAGCUCAAUUGAGCCACUUUACAAGAUACAUAUUUUUAAAAAUGUACACAAUAUAUGUAUUCAGUGUUUGUCAAUUAAAAAUAACUUUAAAAAUAUUAAAGAAGAGUAUCUGAGGAAAGCAUCUGGGAACAUGACAUCCAGGAAGCAGAGGGAGCUCCACUCUCCAAGGACAAAAUAUAUACUCCAAAGGACACCUCCAGUGAUCCAGCCUACUUGCUUGCAGUUACCACCCAGUUAAUAAUUAUUGGGAUUAACACACUGAUUGAGUUAAGGGUCUCGUAACCCAAUUAUUUCACUUCUAUAUGUCUCACACAUGAGCUUUUAGGGCAGACUUAAUACUUUAUAUCUAAACCAUAACAGUGUGGUUGUUUGGAAAGGCCAUUGUUUAUGAUUUUAUCUUUUGAAAAUAUAGAUAUCUUACUAUCUAAACUCUAGAUUCAAAUAGAUUCAGUUAGGGAACAGUAUUUAUAAUCAUAAUUCAUUAUUUCUAUGCCACAUUUUUUACCUUUGAAUACCUCUGCUAUUGGGUUGCACUUUACAGGGUUUUUUUAAAUUAGUGAUAUAUGACAGUAGAAAGCACUUUACCUCAUAUAUCUUAGAGUGCUUGAGUUUUGUGCUCAUUGAAAUACAUUUUCAGAUAUCAUAUUUUUAGAGAAGAAAGUUACUGGAUGAAACAAAGCAAUUAGGACUAAGAAGAUUCCUUUAUUAGUAGUCUUCUGGUUCUUGUCAGAUACUUUUAUUCACUUUAAAGCAACACUCUUUACUCUGAUAUCAUAUGUUAAGGACACUUUGAAAAGAAGUAUUUCCUGUUCGCUGAAGUUAAAGAAAUGCUAGAUAAAAUUUAUUACAUGGAUUUCCUUGCUUUGAGGUUUCUCACUGGUUUUGGCAUGAGGUGAACAUUUGACUCUGGUAAAUGAGGUUAUGAUAUUCAGUGUUUCCAAUUUACUUAGAGUAUAGAAAUCUUUGCUCACAACUUUUCAACUUGUUAUGUAUUCUUCAUAAAGAAAGAAAGAUAUACUUGAUUAGACUCUGUUUUCAGCAUAUUAUCUUAUGUUUCUCCCCUUACCAAGUUAUUGUGUCUCCUUUGUAUAAUCAGGGAGUUUGGCAUUGUUUGGUGUGGUAAGAUAGCAGGGAAGAAAUUUUUCUUCAAAGUUAUAGAGAAUGGUCAUCAAAGUUAGACUACAAACUAAAGAGGUUAACUCUUGUUUUAUAUUCUUUUGUAACAUCUGAGUAUUAGUUUUAAUGAUUGAAGAAAAUUACCGAUCAGAUUUUGGUAUAUCAAACAUUAAGAACUUUAAUUGACAAAAAUUAUGCUAUAUAGAGUUAGGGUAAUUAUAUUUCAUUUUUAUUUGAGAGGCUCAUUAGACUUUCUUAUACACUUAGAAUAGUGAUGAGUUUCUAAUCUUUAUGAUAAAAGAUUAGAAAAUGGUCUCCAGUUUGCUGCUACUCCUCUGAUAUACCCACAUGGUAAUGUUUUGGUAGGUAAAAAGUAGCAUGAUUUUUCUCAGUGAUACUCUUCCGUUUGAGUAUAUGGCUUAAUCUUUUUUAGGUCAUGAAUUCCUUUAAGACUUUAAAAUAAGCAAUAUUUUUUCCUCUGGAAAAUUACAGUGUUCACACAGUUGGUUUUAUGUUUAUUUUUUGUAGCAGUUGUAGAUCUACCUGAGGAGAUCCCUAGGCUCUUUCCUUAGAACCACCCCAGGGAACUUUUAACUGUUUCGCUUUUGAAAGAAAGAAAAAUGUAGCCUAAACACUCUUAUUAUUUUGAAUUAACCCUGUUGUGGAAAAGGUUGUGCUCUUUGACCUAUGUCAGUUUAGUUGGGUGCAAAAAUGUUUUGAGUAUUUACCAUGUGCCCUGGCACUGUUGUGAUAAUGUCUGUAUCUAGAAGAUAUAGCAAUAUACCAAGAAAGAAAAUUCCUCUUCAAGGAGAAAAUUUUGAGAUUUGUAAAGACUUUAGAUAACUAUCAAAUUGAACCUUUUCAUUUUAUAAAUGAGUGCACUAAGGCCCAAAAAGGUGUCUCAUCUUAGCCAUGGUCGGCCUCACCAUUCAUGAGUUGAUGAGUAAGACUUAGGUACUACAGGGACAAAGAGGAGAAAGACAUGAUAUUUGUUUCAAGGCCUUUACAGUAUAGACUAGAAGAAAGACACAUCAACAUAUUAUCAAGUCAUUUUUACUGAGUCCAGUGCUAGGUAAAAGUAGCUUGUAGUAUUUUUACCUGAUAGCUGGAGGUAUAAAAUUUCAUAUAAAGAGAAAUGAUCAGGACUUUUUGAAAGUCUUGAUUGUGUUAUGCUGAACCUAAAUUGUGUUUAAAGAGAAUAAGUUUAAGCAGAGAGAAUAUUGCUAGCAAACAAAUGGAGAAUGAAUACAUUUAUUUCAGAGCUGCAAAUUGCAAAUGAUUGUGUUAAAUUGUUGCCGAACAACAUAAGGUUUUUUUCCUGUGCCAUGCUUUUGUGUUAUUUUUGCUUUAGUCACUAUAGAUAGUAGUUAAUGUAUUCUGCAAUUAGUAUUUUCUGAGCAAUAUGGUAAUGGCAGUGAUUGUUCUUGAUUUGAUAUUUUUGUAUGUUUGUCUUUGCUCUCCCCACUCCCUAGAAGUAUUUGAUAAUUUGAAAAUAUUUUUAUUUAGGGCUUAUUCUUCAUUCAUACUCUUCCUUUCAGAUCAUCAAAUGUGAUUUAGUUAUUAAAAGUAUAUAAUGCAUCUAGUUUAAUUUUGCUAAAUUUUAUUAGAAAUUAAAGCUGAGUUUCAUAGAGGGUAGAACCUAGGAAAUUAUUAAAGAUUUAUACUUUUUUUUUUAAGAAAUUGAAUUUGUAUUGGUAGGUAUUGUCUACAUCUACUGGCCUAACAAAAACAGUGUAUAAUCCAGCUGCUUUGAAGGCUGCACAAAAAGCCUUACUUGUUUCCACCCCUGCAGUUGAUAAUAAUGAAGCACAGAAAAAAAAACAGGUAAGUACAUCUAGUAUAGUGAACAAAAUUUGCAUAUAAGAAAAGUGUCACAAAAUAAUAUUAAAAGAUGUAUGUUGGCUGUGGCUGAACUUCUGUGUUCUAUAGUGUAGCAGUGAAUAUUAAAUUGUCUCUUAAUAAAAGGUUCCUGAUUGAUCUUUUUUUUAAAUAUUAAUUUAUUUUUUUUUAGUCAUAGUUGGACACAAUACCUUUAUUCCAUUCAUUUAUUUAUAUUUGGUGCUGAGGAUCGAACCCAGGGCCCUGCGCAUGCUAGGCGAGCACUCUACCGCUAAGCUACAAUCUUUGAAAUCUGCACGUAGAAGUUUUACAUAGCCAAAUUUUGCAUAUAAUUUUUGUUGCCAAUCUUUUACAAUUAUAAACACUUUUCUCCUCUUGAAUUAUUUUAUCACAUUAAUAAUAUUCUAAUGAUAUCUUUGAUACCUGACUCUAGGAGGCACUGAAACUGCAGCAGGACGUAAGGAAAAGGAAACAAGAAAUUUUAGAAAAGCACAUUGAAACACAGAAGGUAAAAUGCUAAAGUUAGAUUUGGUAAAAUGUAUUUACAAAUGUUAUGAUUUUUUGUGAAUUUUAUCUUAAUACUAUUUAACUAGUCCCGAGAAACAGAUUAUAAUUGUUAAUGAUAAAAGUGAAAUAGCUGUAAUGAUUUUGUCCCAUCAGUAUUAUUAAUAUUUUGUGUUGAGGAUGAAGAAUAGACAUUGAAAGAUGGGUGUGGGUUAAACAGAACUAUGGUUAUCAGCAUGAAGUUAAAACAGUAUAGUAUUCAUUCAUCUGUGUUACUGCACAGUAGGUUGAUCAAAAGUUAAUGAAAUGAAAGCUUUAUUUCAGUGUUGAUUUGUACCUCUUUUUACUGGCUUGGGAUCUCUUAGUCCUGUGUUGUGUUGUGCAGUAGCGACAUCUAGCAAUUGAGUGUAAUCUAAGUGUAGAAUACACACCAAAUUUCAAAGAUGGAGAAGAAAAAAAUUUGAUGAUGUCUUUAAAUUUUUACCGAAAUUUACCAUUUUGGAUGUAUUAGAUUAAAUGUUAUUGAAUUCAUUUUGCUCAUUUUUGGGGGCAGUUUUUCUCUGAUUUGUAACAUUUAUUUAGUGUCAGUUCUUGAUUAUGUGUAGGUUGCUAUAGGACAUCUGAAAAUAUAGAAACCACAUUUUAAUUAGAAGUGUAUGUCUUUACUAAUUUAAGUUUGGGUAUACCUUAUAAAGAGAAAUCACAGUGCUUUACAUUAAAAACUAAAUCCGGGCUGGAGAUGUGGCUCAAGCGGUAGCGCGAUUGCCUGGCAUGCGUGCGGCCCGGGUUCGAUCCUCAGCACCACAUGCAAAACAAAGAUGUUGUGUCUGCCAAGAACUAAGAAAUAAAUAUUAAAAUUAAAAAAAAAAAACAAAACUAAAUCCAUCUUAACUCAUAGAACUUGCAAUACUAUGUGGUUUCUUUCACCCCAUGUUAUUUUGCUUAUCUUCUUAUUUCCUUUCCAUGUUAAGGAUAUCAUUCUCAGGGUAACUGAUUAUUGUUCCCUGUGGCAAAGAAAAGUAAUUGUACAUUGUACCUAGUUUUUCAUUGUAUGAAAGGGGCCAUAAAAUACAUUUUCUGCCCACCCCCCAGCUCACUGACUAUAUUUAGAGUGAGAAUAUUUGAAGAAGCAUAAUAACAAAUGAAUGAGAAAAUGAAAUUUAUACUAUUUCAAGUUGAAAACUUUUCCGGGAUUUGAAUUAAAUUUUUUUUUGGUUGUAUACUUUGAACAUGUUUUAAGAGAGCCAAACAGUAAUAAAUUUCUUUACAAGGUAAACCAGUAGUAAGACUUGAAUGGAGAUACAGUUAGCAUCACCAAAUCAUUCUUUAGAUACUUGCUAGUUGUUAGCUUAGUCAUGAAUACUAAAUUAAGAAUAGUAGUAUUUAUUUUUAUAUUUACUUUGCUGUAUUUGUUUACAAAUAGUAGUAGGGGCAAAUAUUCUAAGAUUUUUCUGUUUAAAAAUUUGGCAGAUGUUGAUUUCAAAGUUAGAGAAAAAUAAAGCAAUGAAGUCUGAAGAUAAAGCAGAAAUAAUGAAGACUUUAGAGGUUUUGACAAAAAAUAUUACCAAGUUGAAAGAUGAGGUGAAAGCUACUUCUCCUGGACGUUGUCUUCCAAAAAGUAUAAAAACCAAGACUCAGGUAUUUAAUUUGUAUGCACUAUUCAUAUUACUGUUUAUUAAAAAACAUUAAACAUAUCAAGAUUCUGUUUUAUUUUUAGGUACUGUCCAUUGUUCAGAAUCUAUCUGAUCAUUAUAUGUAACAUUCUCUCCCACCCCACCAAUAAUAAGUAAAUAAAUACAAAUAAGUAAACUCAACUGAUCUUUUGAAUCCUUUGGCAUUUUAGUUGAAAAGUCAGUAAUUAGAAAAUAAUUAUGGAAAAGUUAGCUUGAGGACAAAAUAAUAUAUUUACUUGAUUGAUUGACUAAGGAGUUUGAGUUUUAUAUUAUAAGUAGUUGGUGAUAUAAAAGGUUAAUGACAGAGAAGUAACAUUCUAUCAGUACCAUAUAGAAUGGAUUGAUUGGAAAGGGGAAAAUUCAGUGAGCAAGAUUUGAUUAAAGUAUUUAUAUUUGGUAUGUGUGUAGUAUAUAUAUGUCUACAAUCAUCAUACUGGUAUUUCUAAUCCAACACCACAUGCUUCCCUUUUUCAUUUUCUGUAUUUUAUCCCCUAUUUCUAUAGUGAUGACUUGGUUUUAUUAUACUAAUUUAUUGUUCAUUGACAAUUCUGAAUCUGUAAGACAUUCAGAACAGUUCCAAAAUUGUUACAACAAUAAUACUUCCAACAACUAACUUAAUUAAUAUAAAAUUUUGAAUAUGUUUGCUUUCUUUGCAAAAUCUAUGUAUUCUACUCAGGGUAGCAUUAGAAGUAUGGUCUAGUUUACUUUUCUUCCUUGUAUAUAUUGUGUUGUGAAUUUGACAGGUUUAUUUCUGAUUUUAUUUAGUUUGGAUCCCCUCUCCCUGGCCCUAUUCUUGUUGAUUUAGUAUUAUUUUUUAACAAGUAAACGAGUGACAUUGUUCAGAAGCCAAACUGCAUAGAAAGGUACACAUAGAAGACCCAUUCCUAGCAGUAUCAUUCAUUUCUGGUUUAUUCUUCUAACACAUAAAAUACACACACACCCCUACCCCUACAUGUAUGUGUUUGUGUCUAAAACACCCAAACGUGUGUGUAUGUGUAUUCUUACCUACAUAAAAGCAUACUAUAUAUUGUUUAUUAGCACCUUGACUUUUUUUUUUGUUUUUUUUUUUUUUUUCACAGUUACUUUCUGAAAAUACUACAUAUCAAUCCAUAGAAAUCUCACUCUGGCUGUAGUACAGAAAGUUAAUUGUAGGGAAAUGUGUAGAAUUAGCAACAAGUGAGGAAACGCUUGCAGUAUUUUUAACCAGAGGUGGUCCAUGGCUUGGACUGGAGUAUUAGUAAUAGAGAUAGGAAAGAAAUGUAUGGAUUAAAUGGAAACUAUGUAGAAGUUCACUUUUUUUUUUAAAGUUUAGUAUACAUGCAGGAUAUUAGUUAUUAUUAACUAAAAUAUUUAUUUUUUUUUAGAUGCAGAAAGAAUUACUUGACACAGAAUUGGAUUUAUAUAAGAAGAUGCAAGCUGGGGAAGAAGUCACUGAACUUAGGAGAAAGUAUACAGAAUUACAGCUGGAAGUAUGUUUUAUCACAGCUACACAGUGUACUUAAAAUAAGCAGAUGUAGUUGUAGUGGUUAACUGAAAAUAAUAUGUCCUUCAUCUAGUCAACAAUUAUUGACUGCCAUAUGUGUUGGUAUAUUAAAAUGGAGAGGAAAGAGGACAACAGGUUUUUUCAAAACUAUUAUAGAAAAAUGUUAUUUAAUGAGGUGAGGCAUUGGUUCUACCUAUAUGCUCAGAUUUCUUCAUUUCUAGUGAAUUUUAUUUCUUUUUGGCCUUUCUUUUUCCCUAGGACUAAGAACUAUUAAAGGCUUUUCAGACAUUCUUGUGGAGAUAUUCUUUUAUAUAUAGGCAUAUUAACUUGCUCUAAAGGUCCUACUUCUAGUGGUAGAACUGUACUGAAAAACAUGCUUGCUUAAGUUUUGCCUAUAGAUGGUGCUGUGGAUGUUUUAAAAGAGAAAAUAAACCACUUUCUUGUAAUAAAGUUACAUAGGGUUAUUUUUUGGAGUGGGGGCUACUGGGGAUUAAACCCAGGGCCUUGCACAUGCUGGGCAAGCACUCUACCACUGAGCUACAUCCUCAGCCCAAUUAUAUGGUUUGUUUUGAAAAACCCCUAGCAAAAUUGAUCGUAAUUAUAUGACAUAAUAAGUUUUAAUAUUUUCCCCAGAAAUGUUUAAAAACUAGAAUUACAUUCUAAUGUAUGGAAAGAGUCAUUAAUAUAUUAUUUACAGGUUUAUUUUCAUCAUUUGACAGUUUAAAUUUUUCUUGUUUUAGAUUAUUUUGAUUAAUCUGAGUAUAAUGCUGUUUUCAGUUUCUUGGCAAUGUCGUCACUUUUGUUUUGUUUUUGUAUUUGUUUCAGUGUAGUAGAAAUCUAUUGAGUUACUACUGUAUAGGUAUUAAAGACUUAACAGCAGCUACCAGAGUUGUCUUAAAGGCGUAUUUUGUCAAGAGUUAGAGGAAACUAUAGGAUUGUUUUAAACAUGCAGACAUUUGCAUUCUCUAGGGACUUGAUCAUGUCCUACCCAGGAUAAUUUUAAAUAAGUUUUAUGUUAAAAAUAUUAUAUGUUAUAGAAAUUGUGUUGUCCCCGUUCAUGCUAGUGUUGGUGGCAUGAAUAUAUUAACCUGACUAUAUGGUUUCUUAGAGGCUUUUAAUUUGUGAAUCUUGAAAUACAAUUAAAAAUUCAUGUUUACUCAAAUUUAUAUUUCAAGGAGCAUCUUGAGAUGUAUUCCUUGGAGCAUACUUUAGGAUAUUGCUGUAACAUCUAUCACCUCGCAUACUUUUUUUAGGAAAAUAGAACAUUUAAAAUCUGUUCUUAGAAGUAUAUAAUACAUUAUCAUCAAUUAUAGUCACUAUGCUGUGCAAGAUACUCAAAACAACUUCUUCUUGUCUAACUGAAACUUUGUACCCUUUGAUCAACAUCUCCCCAUUCUCCAUGCCAGUACAGGCUUUGGUUAACCAUGGUUCUGCUUUUAUGAGUUUGGGGGGUUUUUUUAGAUGCUAUAUAUGAAUGAAAUUAUACUAUAUUUGUCUUUCUAUGCAUGACUUAUAUCAUUUAACAUUAUUAUUUGGAUUUUAGAUGAUUAUUUUGGCUAAUGUAAAGAUUAACUGCCUUGAGAUGAAGAAACUAAAAUAUUUACACUAAUAGAAGUUUGACAGUUGUGCCUGCUUGUCAUUUCCAUUUGGAUGUCUAAUAUCCUCAUCAGUAAAUUCAGAAUUGUGCUUCUCUUGCUCCUAAACCCCAUUUAUACAGUUACCCAAAUUAGAAGUAUAGGAGUCUUUAUUGAUUCCUCCCUUUCCUUCAAUGUCCAUAUCCAUUUAAUUAUCCAUUUUAACUUCCAUAUUUAAAUGUUUAUUCUUCUCUGUCUUCCUUGCUGAUACUAUUAUAGUGACAUACUGAUUUCCCAGCUCAUUCUUUCUUCUACUGUAUUCCUAAAAAUCUAGCUAUAAAACUCCUUAACCUGAUCCCUAAUUCAGCUGAUCCUGAUCCCUGGAUGCAACUGCACUGAAUUUUAUCUGUUUGGAAAACAGUGUUCCUUUCAGCUUUGGUGCCUUUUCUUAUAUUGAAACUCUUGUGUCGCACUUGCAUUUUUUUCUUUGAUUCAUUGAACAAAUAUUAAGUACAAUCUGCCAGCUACUGUUGAAGGUGCUGAGGAUAAAGCAGGGAAUUAAAAAUCACCUUCAAGAAACUUCAUCAUAGGUGGUUGCUCACUGCAGAUCUUUAAAGUUCUGUUCAAAUAUUUAAAGUAUUUCAUCACUUUUUAAAGUCACUUUUCAUUAAUAUAACUAGAUAACUUAGUUGUUUGAUGUCUCUUUAUCCCUCUUAAGUUUUGAACUUGUUGAGGAUAAGGACUUGCGUAGUGCAAGUGGUUGGUAAAUAUUUCUGGAAUGAAGAAAUAAUACACUACUCAUACAGAGUGUUAUGGUAGAAUAUUAAUUAGUAUAAUACCUUGGCCCUAUAAUGAUGUUAGUAAUAAGUGAUCAAAAUUAUGAUUUUGAGAUAACUAUACCUAUCUGAUCCGUUAGUAAUUAACCCAUUGAGUCAACAGGUUAAGAAAUAGAAUGUUAUAUUGAAAAUGUAUUUAUUGUGUAUGUGGAUAUUAUGUGUCUGUGUAUUAACCUGACUUUUGAAGUAAUCUUCAACACUGUAUGCCAUUUAAGAAAUCUCAAAUUGCUGAUCUUUUUGUACCAUAUCGUGACAGUUUAGCAAGAAUUAAGAAAAAGAGGCACAUUUAGUAAUUUCAGAACCUUUAAUAUUAUUUUGUUAUCUAAAUUCACUUACUACCCUAAAAGUUUCAGUUUAAAACUCUAAUUUAAUUAUGUGAUCCUUUUAUAGGACAUUAUUUGAAUAUGAUGUCAAGUUACAUAAAAGUUUGGCUCAUCUGCCAGAGUAUAACACUUGGCUUAUGUUAAGACAGGUUGAGUGUUUCUAAUCUGAAACCCCAAAUGCUCCAAAAAGGAAAGUUUUGGAUUUGUGUUAGUCUAUGCAAAUAUUUCAAAAUUUGAUAAACUCUUGAAAUCUGAAACGUUUUCGAUCCCAGACAUUUUAGAUAAAACAUAUUCAAUGUGUUCCGACUGCAUUGUUUAACCUGAGCAUCUGACUUCUUGUAGGCUGCGAAACGAGGGAUUCUUUCAUCUGGUCGGGGUAGAGGAAUUCAUUCAAGAGGUCGAGGUGCCACUCAUGGCCGAGGCAGGGGUCGAGGUCGUGGACGUGGUGUGCCUGGUCAUGCUGUGGUGGAUCAUCGUCCUAGAGCAUUGGAGAUUUCAGCAUUUACAGAGAGUGAUAGAGAAGAUCUUCUUCCUCAUUUUGCGGUACUAUUUUACUACCCAAGAGAACAGUUACUGAUAAUCAUCAUUGUAGAUGAUCGAUAAAAUUAAAUAAAAAAUUAUGAAAAUGACAUGACUAAUUUAAACUAGUUGAUCUGAACAAGCAUUUGAUUAAAUCCAUAAUACUUUUGUUAAUUAUUUAUAAAAUGGGAACUAUAGUAUUUUUAAAUUAUCUUGAAGGAAUGUUAAAAUUCUUACAUUAGGAGGACUUCAGGUGGUAUGAAAUGAAUGAUUUAAACUUUGUUGUUUCAGACAAAGACAUCCUGUAGUUUGUUUUGUUUGUUUGUUUAUUCUUCAUGUUCUGCCGCACCAGGUCUUGUAAUUUAGUUUUGAUAUUUACUUACAAGGAAAAUUUAACAUGUUACAUGGGCCAUAGCAAAUUUUUUUCUGAAUAGAAUUUUCUUUAUUAAUAUUGUAUUCUUGAUCAAACUAAUAAGAAUUGAAGCAGGCAAAAUUUUGAUAUGAUCUUAAAUUUCCUUAGUUACUUAAAAGAGUUUUAUACAAUGGUAAUAGAUAAAUUAAAAGAAAGGAAAAGGAUAUUCUAGUCCCUGCUAAUCCUUUAUUUAACUUAAAACUUUCUGGAAUUCAUUAGUCUCAUGUGUAGAAUGGAGAUUUUACCCACCUUUGUGCUGCUUAAUCUUAAAUGUUGUGAUUCUUAGUGGUAUCCCAAUAAUUAUUUACUAAACAUCAGUUUUACUAAGCAUUAUAGGGUAACCAGUGCUUAUCCUCAAGGAUUUCAUAUGUAUUGAUUUAAUAUAAACCACUUAAAGUGUGAAUAUAAUAUAGAUUCAGGCAAUUUAUUAAACACUGUAAGUACUUUAGUUACUUAGCGAAGUAAGUAUCUUUGUCACUGGCAUAUGAUGGAAAAUAAUGUAACAUUAAAAGUUAAUCAGGGGGUUGGGGUUGUGGCUCAGUGGUAGAACACUUGACUAGCACAACAAGGCACUGGGUUCGAUCCUGAGCACCACAUAAAGAUAAAUUUUAAAAAAUAUUGAAAAAAAAUAAUCAGGUAGUAGAACUGAAGCUUAGAUAUUGAAGGAUAGGUCAACUUGCAUAUAGUUAUACUAUGAUUUUUUUUAAACCUUUUGGAAAUUUAGAUUUAAGUAUUGAUAGUCAUGUUCCUGCCUUGAAGCAACUAACAUAUUUUGUCGGGACAUAAAAGAAAUGGUGUAUGUUUAAGAAAUAACUGGGAUGAUUAAUAUUUAAGGAUGAGGAGUCUGGAAAGUCCUGUGCUUGAUGGAGUCAAAGGGAUAAGGAAAGGAAUCAGAGAACUAGAAAAGAAUUUGGAGAUAAUAUAACCCAAUUUUUCCUGGCUAUGUACAUCACUUUCAUACCUUCCACAAGGGAAAUGAGAUCCAGAUAACUUAAGUGUCUUGCAUAUAGUUAUAUAGCUAAUUAGGAAACUAGCAAUGAAUAUGCUAAAAUAAUCCAAACAAACAACUUCAGUUUAUUAUUAUGAUUGUGUUUUGCUGAGACUAAGAUGAUUUUGCUUUGAGAAAUAUUCAAAAUCCCUAAAUGGAAAUUUUUUCAUAUCCUUGGAGACUUGAAUUCUACUCAAAAGUUAGUGAUAUUUCACAUUACAAAUUACCAAUCUUACAUAGAAAUACAGGUCUAAAGUUGAACUUUUCCAUUAUAACUUGUGUAACUGAAACACAUGAGAUAUAUCAGAAGAAAAGAAAGCCAACAUUAAUCAAAGGACCAUUGGCUAUUGCACAUUUUGAUUUUGACUAACAGACUACUUUCUUUAAUUUAUCUGCUGAGACCAGUAAUAAUGGAGAUAAAAAUCAUUGCUAAAACUUAGAGCAUUUAUUUUAUAGCAUGUAUUAUUCCGUAUGCUUUAAAAAACAAUUCAUUAUAUUAGGAGUUAUUUGAAUCACCCUUUGUUAUGCUCAUUUUUGAGAUGAAGAAGAUGAAACAUGAAGAGAUGAAGUAACUUGUUCAGGUUUACACAGUAACUAGCAGAACUGGUUUCUGAGUAGCUCUACUGUCCAUUCUCUUAUGCUCUACAGAAUUUGUGUGUGUGUAUGUGUGCACGCGCACACACACGCGCGCACACGUGUAUGAUUAAUGAAAUUUAUAAUUAUAGUUUUAGUUAGGGGUGAGAACUUAAUAUAUAAGGGACAUAAAUUUUAUAUGAUAAAAGUUACUCCUAUAUAUGGUAAAAAAAAAUUCCACAAACCCAAAAUAGGCAGAAUAUAGUGUGCUUAACUUUUAAAUGUCUUGUAAGAGAGGAUAACAGAAUGUAUAGUAAGUGAAAACAUGGUUAGUUGGAGUGUUAAACUUUCUAAUCAAAAGACCAGGAUUCGCAUCUUAGUAUUUGACUUAAUUACUUUCAGAAGAUUGCUUAAAUUCUCUGAAUCUUUUUUACCCCCAUUUAUUGGGAUUGAUACAAAAAAUUCAUAGUAUUUUGAUUAUCCAGUAUGCUGUUUUAAGAACAAAUAUAGCAUGUUCUGGGCUUGGAGUAGUAAAUGUAAGAGGAAGGUCAGUUCGGGAACUCAGACUUUGACCAUUGUUACUUCAUUUAAAGAAUAAUAUCCCUCAAGUCUGUUCACAAAUUCUGGAAAGUAUGGAAUUGGAAGUGAGAUUGGAAGAUAGGGCUACCCUUUAUUUUAUAAUACCAAGUACUAAAAUAAAUUAUUCACCAUUCUUUUCUAUUAACCAGUAUGGAUUGUUAUGUAUUCUGGGUGAUAUAUAUGUUUUUAAUGUCAUUGGGAUUGUGGAUGCUCCAGAAUAUUUAUUUGGUGAAAAUACUUUUUUCUUUUUAAUUUAAAGCAAUAUGGUGAAAUUGAAGAUUGUCAGAUUGAUGACUCUUCACUUCAUGCAGUAAUUACAUUCAAGACAAGAGCAGAAGCAGAAGCAGUAAGUAUUAAAAGUAAUUUAUCAAAAAUUUAGAUUUAAAUGAUUAAUAAUUUUUAAGGUUUAAUAUAAUGAAUGUUUAAAUUUAAUGAAUAAAUAUGUUUGACAAUAGGUAGAAUAUUUGAAGUAGAACUCAUGCUAUAAGAAAUGUCCUAAAGCAGUUAGGCAAGUCUGCAUGUAGUGUUAUACAAUUAGAAGAUAUAUACAUACACGAACAUGCAUACAUAUAUGUAGAGAGAGUGAAAGAGUGUGUAAUAGUCACCAAGUUGAAUGUUAAGUUAUAUUUUUUAGACACAUGAAAUCUUUUAAAAUAUUUUUUAAGGAUACAGAUCCUACCCUACUUUCCAUUAUUAUUCUUUCUUAACUCUCCCAGAACAAAGUCUGCUUUGACAGAAUGAGUUGUAAGGGUUAAGAUAGAAGCCCAGAGAAUAUAAUCCUGAUGUCUUCCCUUUUUUUUUUUAUUUCAUUUUUAGUUAUAGAUGGACACAAUACCUUUAUUUGUCGAACCCAGUGCCUUGUGUGUGCUAGGCAAGUGCUCUAUCACUGAACCACAAGCCCAGUCCAUGUCUUCCCUUCAUACUUAUCUCUCAUCUGUUGCUUCCUAGUUUCUAGCAGGCUGAAUUCUAAAGUGCCUCUAGCUUAGCAUAUCCCCAAAUAGACUAGUACUUCUUUUUGCUCAAGAUAUGAUAUGUAGCUCUAGUUUUUAGAGUACUCUUAGUAUAGUUGUUAAUGUUGAGUGGUCUUUUCAGAGACUGACCAGAGGUUAUCUUCACCUGUGGGAGAUUCAUAAUAGCCUUUUUAGCCCUGUAUAUUCUUUAUGUGGAAGACAAUGUAACUAUUUUGUCUUUGGCAUUACUGAAAACACAAGAUAGUUUUCCAGACAGUUAACUGGAAGAUGCCUUUUAAAAGUUUUAGGUUGAUGGUGAUCUAAAUAAUCAGUUUGAAAAACCUUCUAACUUGUUUUAUUCUGUUUGUAUCCCCUGUCAGCACAAUGGAGCAUCAUUGAGGGUUAACCUGGUAGGAGUUACUCUCUGGGCAUUAUAGCAAGUGUUAAGAUUGUGAGUCUGCUAAGUCUUAGAAACGUAUUUACUGGAACCCUAGAAUAAUCUAGUUUCUGGUGGGGUGUGUAGGGGUGGUUAAGUUAGGGUAUUAUUUCAUAGAAUAGGAAUCCCUGAUCCUUGAGUUUUUAUCCUUUAAAAUCUAGGGAACUCUCAGGUAGGUUUUGUUUUUGGAUUUGUGGUAUUGCAGAUUGACCUGUCUGUCAUCUAUGCUAAGCACGCACUCUACCACUAAGUUAUACCUAACACUUAAAAAUCUGGUUUUGAGUCUUAUAUCAUGUAAAGACCUUUUGUCCAAGUAAAAAGUCAUUUAUUUAUAAUUGUGAGAGUUUAAAAUUUUCUUUCAAAUUUGUUUUGUUGAAAAAUGUAGAACUUUAAUCAAGUUUUCUCUGAAAGAUAUUGGUCUGUACAAGCCAUGUAAUAAGCUUCCCUUUCAAAGUCAGUUUUGGUGAUAAUUUUAAGUCCAUUGAUAGGUUGUUUGAGUAACAUUUCUUUAUGUUUUUCUUAAUUUCUAGGAAAUAGCGAUAUUAUAAAACCAUGAUAAUUAUUAUUGGACAAGAGGUUAAAAAUGAUAUUACCAAGUUUGUAGAUUUAGUAAGAACCUGUAUAAAAAUACCACAAUGAAUCCUGAUAGUCAAAAUAAUAAUGAUGAUGAUGAUGAUGAUGAUGAUGAUAAAGGGAGAUCAGUAAAGUAGAACAAAUAAUAAUAAUUUAAAAGGGAGAUCAGAGAAAGGGAAGGGGGUAAAGAAAGGGAAGGUAUUAUGGAAUGAAACAUGAAAAAGUUGUUAUGUAUGUGUGUGUGUAUGAAUAUGACAUAAUGAGUCCUAUUAUUAUGUAUAAUUAGAAUGCACAAAUAUAUACAUACUAAUCACUGAAUAUUUGCAUGGAUAAGAAAAAAACUAAAAACCUUUUAAAAUAAUUUCUGGAAGUUUUGCUGUUGGUAAGCCCUAUUGACAUACUCCUUUCUUGGAUAUCGCCUUUUCUACCUUAGGUGUUUAUUUUUUAUUUAUUUAUUUUUUUAAAUUUAAUUUAAUUUUUUUUUAUUAGCUACACAUGACAUUACAAUGAUCUUGGCAAUUCAUACAUUUGAAUUAUUGGGGUAUUUUUAUAUAUUUUUAUUUUCCAAACUGAAUAACAAUUUAAAAGCCAAGAAUUAAUAUAUAAGAAAGACUUAAGAACUAAAUUAUAUGAAAUUUUAAUAAGUAACAGAAUAAGUAAGUUUUAGUUACAUAUGUCUAGAGAGUGUUACCUGUUCAGUGUAAAUACCAUUUUAGUUGGAUUUUUUUAAUAGGCUGGAAGAAAUAACUCCCACUGCUAUGAUAAAUAUUUGGUAUUAAGUUAUAAAAGUUGUGAAACCAUAAACAUUUCUUAAGCUAAAAAGUUUCUUAAAAAUUCAUAACACUCUUUGAAAAGAAUAAAAAGGUUGAAGCUGAUCAUAUACAAGCAAAAUACAGAUGAGAAAAGUAAUUUUGAAAUUUCUUGAUAUUAGGGAACAAAAGUGGUUAGGAAUUUGAAAAUUAGUGCUUUUGAGGUAGGGAGUGCCAUUUUUUUUUUUUUUUUUUUGACAGGGAAGAAUGCUUAAAAAAUUAAAAAAGAUUGUUAUGUACUAUUGCUAUCAUAUAUGUAAGAAAUUCUAAUACCAAAAAUAUAAGCAGAUGUAAAUUCAAUAUGAAAGAUAGGCCUUUCCAAGAAAAGAAAAUUGUCAGCUUUUGCUAGUGUUUAUUUCUAACUGAUAUUCUUUUCUUAUUUUCUGGACCAUUGUUGUUGAUGAGCAAAUGAAUUUUUCUUUGUUUUUCAGUAAGCCAAUAGGUACAUAAUAGUUCUAGAUGAAAGUACAGGUAUAAUAUAAUUGAGUCAUUCAGGCAUAUCUGAAGAGAAAAAUUUUCCCCAGGAAAAAAAUUGAAGUAUUUUAAAGAAUAUAAGCAGAAUACUUUAAAUUUUAAGUUUAGGUAGUUAUUACGCUUCGAUUCUGGUUAGUAAGAAAGUGAUUACUAUUAUUUUUUAUUUUACUUUCUACUUAUCACUGUGCCAGUGUAUUCAAGAUGAGUAAGUACCCAAAUAGAAUUUAGAAAAAAGUAGACUCAUCACAUGACUGAUUAGAUAGAAUGUUAUUUUUCAUACUCUCAAUUUUACCAGUAUGUUUUUUAGGAUACUAGGUUCUUGUUUUCAAAAUGAGAUGGUGAAGGGAUGGUUAAGUUACUGUCUUAGAAGAAUCAGUCCCAAAGAUGAAGCCCAUGAUCCCAAACUUAGAAGUAUAGUUUUUCAUAUCAAAAAGAAAGAACCUUGUUCUACGCACACAUUUUGACACCCAUCCCUCAACUUGCAAUAGUUGUGAGAUUUUACUGAUUCAAAACCUGUAAGUUAGGAUCUGAUAUAUAGUAAAGUCUCUAUUAGCCAUUAUUGUAUUAUUGUGCUUUUUUUUUUUUUUUAAUAUGAGGAGUGAUUGGCAAAUCAGUGGAACAGGAUAAAGGCAAGAUGGAGUAAAUGUUAUCAAAACUCUUAUUCUGUAGAACUUCUAAAAUUAGAAGUACAGAAUUGGGUUUGUAGAGAAUACAGUAUCAAUAGUCAGAAGUUGAUGAAAUUCAUUAAGUAAAUGGUAAAUUUAUAGCAAGAACAAUGUUAGUAGAUAAGAAAUGAAAUUAUGUAGAGUAUUUUUCAUGUGUGCUUUUAUUGUCUUAACAAUUAUUAAUGGUAUAUGAAGGGCACUGUGCUUGCAGAAUUAAUUAACAUUAGGUUUGAAGCUUGGGAGAAAGUGGCUAUGUGCCUUGAGUUCCAGAGUUGAAGGAAUGGAAUUCAUCGUGGUCAUUUAAAGUAACUCCUGCCCCUAAGCACCUAUACCUUAGAACAAUUUUUGCCAGUUUCCAUAGAACUCUGCUUUGGCACAGUCUCCCAUAAUAAAGAAUUUUCUUGUCAGAUAAACUUGAGAAAGGCUCAUUUUGUAUAAUCCAUAUGGAACCACAAUCUAAAGGACUUGAGAAUUGAGAAGGUAAACAAACUUGUCUAAUUUUGCAUAAUCUACCUUUUUUUAAAAUUUCAUUCAAAAAAUUGUUUUCCAGAAACUUUUUCCAUGUAAGACUUGGAACUCAUAACUACUUUUCAUAGUUAUUUCUUUCUCCUUUGUCAGAUUUUCAGCCUUUUUUCUUUCUGUUGUGUGUAUGCUUGCUUUCCUUUCUACAUUGCAAUAAGCCUCAAAUGAAUGUGUGUAUGCAUAAAUAGUCAAAGGACUGGAGGCAAGCCUAUGAAUAAAAUGCUUUAGCUUGAAGACACUUUUUUUAGUAGGUCAUAGUAUAGAAAUUAGAAUUGUAAAAUGAGUUCCCACAGGCUCAUCAUUGAGCUUCAGCAAUUAUCCACUACUAGCCAAUCUUAUAUCUCAUUCACUACAACAACAUUUCCCUUCCUAUAUUGGAGCUAUGUCAUUUCAUCUGUUCAUAUUUCAAUGUGUACGUCUCAAUAAUAGAACUGUAAAAAAAAAAAUAGAACAAUAUAAUGCUUAAAUAUGUUAUUUCUUAAAUAUCAAAUAUCCAAUGAGAGCUUAACUUUCCUUGAUAUUUUAAUAAUAAUUUUUAAGCAUUUCAUGGUUAUUGAUCCAUUGUUCUCAGUUAUUAAUGUUCAAAUUGUCCCAUUUUUGCCCAAUAAACUGUAUAAAUUGGUUCUUGAAUCUUUUUGACAGGAUUCUAGUGGUCUAAAUAGUGUCCUUGUUUUCUAAUUUUAAAAAGGUAUUCUUGGCUCACUUUAUACUUUUUCUCUUCAGGCAUGGAAUUUAUUAUUUUUCUAAGGAACUUUUCUUUUUUUAAGUAAACAAAGAAACCACAGUCUGAGUACUAGGGAUGCUAAGUAUGUUAUAGUCACUAAUCCUUUUCAGUGAUCAAAACUGGGAAUAAAAAAAAUAUACAUAUUAUACAUACACAUGUGUACAUACAUAUACGCAUACAUUAACUUUUAAUGCUCUUGCCAUAGUGUGUAUAUUACAUAAUGAUUUUACCACUUGCCAAAGACAAAACAAAACAGAAAAUCAUGGUUAUGUAGUUUUGUCUUCAUUCUUGAUACAGCGAGGUAUCAAACAGUUUUAUCUUGUAAAAUGGGAACUCAUUCAGUUUGUUUUGUGUUUUGUUUUGAAUAAACACAGUGUCUCACUUUGUUGUAUAGGCUGGCCUCAAAUAUUGGAUUGUCCUGCUUCUUCCUCUUGAGAACCUACGACUACAGGGUUAUGAUACCAUGCCCAGUUUUCAUUUCAGUUUUGAUUAACUUUCCUCCUAUGAUUGAAGUUGAGCUGUUUUCACAUGCUUAAAUGCUAUUUAUUUCUAUUUCUGUUAACUUAAUGCCAUUUGCCUAUUAUUUUUCUGAAUGGUCUACUGAUUUCUCAUAAUUGAUUUUUGUGUAUUCUUUAUGUGUUUGUCCCUCUCUUAUCAAAGCAAACCUAUCAAUGUCUUCCUUCCCUAGUAGAUGCCUGAGAGUUCAGACAGUGCCAAACCUUAUUUAUACUGUACCCCACCCCCCAAACAUGAGAUAGCUACUGUAGGAGAUUUACAAUAGUAAUUAGAAAUAAUACACUGUAAUAUAAGUUAUGUAAAUGUGAUUUUUCUUGGAGCAAGUAGUAUAUAUAGUGUGGAUGCUUUGUGGAUAAUUCACUUUCCAUGUAGAAUUGAGAUUUCAUCAUGGUACUCUGAAUGGCAAUGAAUUGUUUAUUAUCAGGAAUUUUCCAUUAAUAUUUUUGGAUCAAGUUUGACUGAAACUUUGGAAAGUAAAACCACCGUAAGGUGGGACUGUGUUAGGAAAUCAGUUCAUAAAUUACAGCUUAGAGAGCAAAUUCAGAGAGCAAAUUCAGGGCCAGACACAUUCUAGGCAAAUGUACUACCACUGAGCUAUACCACCAUCCCAUAAGUUAGAUUUUUCUAUGUGUGUAUAUAUAUAUGUGGGAGGGGAGAGACAGUGUGUAGUGCAUAUUAUUUGUAAAAUUUUCUACCACUAAUGCAUCUUUUUAUUGCUGUUUUGUAUGUGGGAAGAUUGGUCAUCUCUCAUGUGGGAAGAUUGGUCAUCUAUAUAAAUACCAUCUUAAUAAUAUCUUUUGAUAUUUUUGUUUUUUCAGAUAGUUUUAUCUUGAUCCCUACAGUUAAUCCUUUUUAUUAUUUGUUGUUAGUACCUUCAGAAAAAUGUUAAAAGCAUUAGUAGCAGUAAUAUUUCAUCAUGAAAUGAAUGAAAAUGCUUUGUUAUUUUUAGUACUAUGUGUGAUGCUGGAUUUUUUUUUUUUUAAGAGAGAAUUUUUUAAUAUUUAUUUUUUAGUUUUCGGCAGACACAACAUCUUUAUUUGUAUGUGGUGGUGAGGAUUGAACCCAGUGCUGCGUGCAUGCCAGGCGAGCGCGCUACCACUUGAGCCACAUCCCCAGCCAAAUGAUGCUGGAUUUUUAUCUUAAGAUAGAAUAUAAACUUUGCAUGUUUUAUUAAAAGCUGUAGAGGUUUUUGAUCAGAAAUGGAUUUUUACCAUGCCUUAUUUAUUUAUUAAGCUAUGAAGGUCCCCCUCCCUUCCAUUUGUAUUGCUCCCGAACAUUGAACUAACCAUUUCUGUUAUAAAUCUCAUUUUUAUAUUUCUUUGCUAAAUCAUUAAAAUCUGCUCUUCUCUCUUCCUUUCUCCUCCUCCUUCUACCUCUUUCCCCCCUUUUCUUAGGGAGUUAUUAAGGAUUGUACUCAGGGGACCUCAGCCACUGAGCCACUCCCAGCCCUGUUUUGUAUUUUAUUUAGAAACAGAGUCUCACUGAGUUGCUUAGCACUUCACUUUUGCUGAGUCUGGCUUUAAACUAGUGAUCUUCCUUCCUCAUACUCUAGGAUUACAGGUGUGUGCCACCGCGCCUGGCUCUUGCUCUUCCCUUUUUAAAUCAAGUUUUAAAAGUAAGAUUGGAUUGCAAAUUUUAGGAGAAGCAUUAUUUUUGUCAGGAAUCUGUAUUACUGGUCUUUAUAAAAGUAAUUGGAAAGUUUCCGUCUUUUUUUGUGCUCUGAGAUUUAGGUAGAUGUUUCUUAAAAGUUUAUUAGAAUUCAUCUGUGAAACUUAGGACCUAGAAAAUUUUAUAGCAUAUCUUUUUUAAAAGUCUGUAGAAAUGAUUGCUUUAGGGGGCUGGGGAUAGCUCAGUGGGUAGAGUGCUUGCCUCACAUACACAAGGCCCUGGGUUCAAUCCCCAGCACCACCAAAAAGAAAAGAAAUAUUGCUUCAGAUUUUUAAAAAAUCUUUUCUGACUUUAGCUUGGUACUUUGGUAGUUUAUUUCAAAGAAAUGUCAUCUUUAUAUAGAUUGACUGUAUUUGCAUUGGGAUGAGGAAAUGUAAUUUUAUCUUAAAUCAGAAGUUAUUUGCACUGUGUAACUUUUAAAAAAUUCUAAUUCUGUAACAUUGUUAUGAGGCCAUGAACUAAAAAACUUGCAGCUGGAUUUUAAUAGGCACAAAAUCUUUUAAAUUUAUCAUAAAUUUAUAUGUGCAGAUUUAAAAUUUAUACCUGGGGACUUUAAUAUUACACAACUCUGUUCACAAGUCACAGAACAUGUAAUUGUUUCUACAUUUCACAUUAUGUUGUACUUUUGAGAUUGUACUAUAAAUCUUGUGACUAUGAGUUAUUUCAAUAUGCUGCUAACAUUGAUUUAUGUUCAUUCAUGUUACUUUAAUUUGAAUGUCCUGUUUCCAAACCAGUCACUUAAUGUAGCAAGUACUUAGUCUUGACUGUUUCCUUAGUUCAAAUUUUAUAAUAUUCAGUUCUAAAAGCUUUGUAGGAAAUACUGCUGUUUCCAGUAGAACAGUUCAGGGUUUUCACUUCAUUUAUCGAGAUGUUUAUAUUUAUAUCAGUUAUACAUCAAACAUUUUUAUGGUAGUCGUGAUUAUUUAAUGUAAUUUGAUGAUAAUAUACAUGCAAACUUUUUCUUGUAUUUGUUAAAGGCUUCUAGUUAGUAGUUACUAUACAUGUCAUUUUUAAAUUAACAAUUGAAAUGCAAUAAAAUUCACUUAGCCUAUUAAUUUUAAUUAGACAUUGAUUCAGAAACUACAGCCAAGAAUUUGAAAUUGAAGUGCCUUGGGAUUGUUGUUUUAUAUUAUUGUAUUGUAAAUAUAUUUCUUCUGGUCAAAUAUUGGUCAGUAGUAAAAUAGCUUUACUCAGUUAUGAAAAAUUAUUGUUGUAUUCUUUUGUAAAGUUUAUUGAAUCACAAGUCUGGUGAUUUUUAGAAAUAAAUAACCAUAAAAAGUAAAUUGCAAAUUAUAAUAAUAAAUAGUAAAACCAAAAAAGCAAAUGAGUAGAUAGUCGUCUACAGUUGAAUUUGGCUAUUUUAAUUUAAAUAUUAGGCACUACAAAAUUUAUUUUUUUCAGAAAUUAUUAAUGUUCUAUAUACCAAUGUUCUUAAUUUUUUAGGCUGCAGUUCAUGGAGCUCGUUUUAAAGGGCAGGAUCUAAAACUGGCAUGGAAUAAACCCAUAACUAAUAUUUCAGCUGUGGAAACAGAAGAUGUUGAACCUGAUGAAGAGGAAGUAUGUUUUUCUUUUCCACUUGUUUUUGCCCUUUAUUGUUCGUAGUAUAUAUAUAAAGUGUGAUUUUUUUUUUUUUUUAAAUGGCCGUGAUCUCAUCAUAAAGCUUUUGUUCUUGAGCCAUAUUCCAGACAGGGGAUAUCAGAAAAAUGCAGAUGACUUUAAAUUUUCUGGAUUCAUGACAAGGAUUAUUGAUUACUAAUCCAAAGAGAGAAUAUAUGAAAGUCAUAUUUUAAAUUUAUGUGUAUGUGUACACACAUAUAUUUAAAUAUCUAUGUGUGCACACACACAUACACUUAGUUUUCAUUUACUCUUAGAAGACAAUAAUUAUUCAUUAGUUUUUAUCCACAGGAAAUUUGUAAUAUUUUAAGUUUUAGGAUAUCUAUUCUAUUCAAUUGCUGUAUUAACGUUUCAGCUUUCUUGUAAUUCAUAUCGUUUUAGUUCAUUAGUGAAUGCCUACUAUAUGCUAGAUUCUGUGAUAGGCACAAGAAUGAAUAAGACACGGUCCCUAUCAAGGAGCUUAUAAUCUGGAAAGGAGGGUGGUGGCAGAUACCUGAGAAACUAAUUACAAUAAUAGGCAGUCUGAUAUGCUGAAUAAAGAUUUGAACAACGUGCUGUGAAAACCCUGAGGGAGGAGAGAUUGUUUCUGUCCAAAAGAAUAUUCAAGGGUGGUAUUGACAGUGGAGCUGGACCCUGAGUGAUAACAUAGCUUUCCAUAACCAGAUUCUGGAGCUGGAAAUAUAGUGAGAAACGUAUUUUAGGCAGAACCACAAACUUCAGAAUAGGUAUGGAAAAGUGCAUUUUUCUUGGGUAAUAGUGAUUAAUAUGAUGACUGAAAGGUGUGGGCAUCUUAAACAGGGAAGUGAGAGAACACUUUGAAACCAAAAAUUUUAAAAGUAAGCAACUCUGUUUUGCCUAGUCAUAAAGGAAACUGUAGGGAAAACUAAGAGGUUAAGAAAUAAAGGUAAGGUGAGGAGACUAAAUGAUUCUUUUUUUUACCUUUGUUAGAUUUUCAUAAUGGCACUUCAUUUUGUUAGAAGAGCAUUUCAAGGCUGUUAUACAUAUCCAUAGUCAAAUGAAAGAAUAAAAUGUAUACUUUGAAACUCAUAUACAUGAUUUGUCAUUUUAUGUUUUAGAUUAUACCUUUGUCCUUCCAUGAGUUUGAAUUGAAUGGGGAGAAAAGCAGGAGAGCUCCUGGUAUUAGGUAUUUUGAAAAGUCUGGAACAGCAGUCUGAGAAACUUUUAUGAAGGGAUUGGGGAAAAGAAAAGAAUGCUAUAAAAUGUUUGUUACGUAUAGCAGAAAAGAAAUAGAUAAUUUAGUCGAAUUUUUACAAGCCAUUAGUUAAUUUAGUGUUCAGAGUUAGAAUCAAAAACCUAAUGUUUUCUUUUUUUAAAGAAGUAUUAAGUAGUAGUAUUUUGAAGGUACGGAUGGUGGUUUAAUUUGUUAGAUGCAGGAGAAAUGGCAUAUACAAAGUCUUAAUUUGGUAUUUCUUUGAUGCUUGUUUCUUGCAAGCAACAGAAUAGAAAUAAUUGAGUGGAUAACAGUUACUUUUGUUUCUUUAAUGUUCUAGCUUUAAAAAUACCUAUUGUAUUCGACUCAGAGAUCAGUGUUUAAAAGUGUCACCUUUUUUUUUUUUUCUUUUCUUUUCUUUUUUUUUUUUGUUGGGUAAAUUCCUAAAUACAUUUUAACCUAAAGUUUCAGGAAGAGUCUUUGGUGGAUGACUCAUUACUUCAAGAUGAUGAUGAAGAAGAAGAGGACAAUGAAUCUCGUUCUUGGAGAAGAUGAUUUGACUGAUCAUUGAUCGGCAUAUGCUAGAACUCUACCUGUGUUUCAUUAGUAUUAUCUAAUGUACUUUUACAUAUUUGUAAAAACAAUUUUUUGGUAAAAUGUGAUGAAGAUGGAUUUCACAAAUAGACAAAAGAGAAGAAAACUACCUUCUGAUCCUGUAUUUUGAAAGAUUGAUGUUUGCAUUUUAUUUCAGUAAACAAUUGCUAAAGACAUCAUACUAGAACAUAUGCAAUGUUUUUAUUACAUACUUCUACUGAACAUUACAGAAUUCUUUGGGUUCUUUGUAAUUUAAUGAAUAGGUCUGAAAAAAUAUGACCCAAUACUUGUUAUAAUUUAGAGGAUUUUGUUUUACUCCAAAUAAGGAAUGAAUUUGCAUUUAAAAUCUUAAUGAAUGUUUUCAAAAUGAAUAGAUAACAUAGUACUCUAACUAAAGUCUCCAAGUUAUGUACUCAUAAUAUUACAUAGUAGUAUGCUUAGGCUUUACUAUGUAUUAGCCUUUUGUUGGACUUGUGUAUGUAUUUUAUCACAUGGGUUUUAAUAAUAAUGGUGUAUGACUGCUUUACAUAUGAGUCCUUAUGCAUCUGGAUGUUAAAAAUAAAGUGGAAUGGUCUCUUAAAAAGAAAAGAAAAGAAAAAAGUGACAAAAAGAAAAAAAAAGUCCAAGACAAUGUUCCUUGAUUAAAAAAAAAAGAAAAAAAAGAAAGAAAAAAGAAAAGAAAGAAAAAGAACAAAGGAAAAAAAAGAAAAUAAAAAAUUAAAAUAAAUAGACCAUUCCAGAUGGUGAUCUACCCUUCCCCCCAAUUAUCACAAAAGAAGCUAUAAUCACUUAUUCUUAAUGAUUAAUGAUACCUUUACAAUAAUGUACAAUCCAAUGUUUAAAAUUCUACCACUUCAGUUUGGUUUCAUCCUAUAAAUUUUCAACAGAUGUCUUAAAAUUUAAAAGCAGGCUGAUUAGUUUGGAGCCAGACUUCAAGUAGAGCUAACAUUUGGUGAAUAAGAAAGCAUCAUUUUACAUUUUGGAUGUAUGAAAGAAAACUUGACCAUUUGAAGAUGUAUGAAUAAAGAAAUGUACUAUAGAUACUACUUUAGGAAAACACUGUUUGGUAAGUGUUCCAGUCUGAUACUUUAAGUGUGCAUUUCCUAUACUUGUAUAAAAAUCUUUGAAAUUUGCAACAAUAUUGUGAUUUUUAAGUGGAUUUCUCUGGCAAGUGAACAUGAUUAUUGAAAGUUGAUAUAUCGGUUUUCAGGAAAUAAAUAUAUUCUUUGUAGAAUGAGGGGGUAGGAGAUUAUUAUAUUUAUUUUUAAAAUCCAUCAUUUCAAUUACAAGUGUUUCUGCCUCUCUUGAGAUUAUAGAGAUAAUAUUAAAAAUCACAUUUUAAAAAAUCACUUUCAUUCAUAUUGGAGACCUUAUAAUCAAAAACUAAUUCCAUUUAUGGAUGCUAUUUUUUUUUUAAACUUCCCCAUACACUUUGGGUUGAAGUUGUACUUUCUUGAUGGUAAUACUAUUUUGUAGGAAUGUUUUGACUUGCAGUUGCUUAUAUUUAAAAUUACACACUCAGAUUUCAGUUGUCAAAAAUACUUACUUUACCAAAAACUUUACUUAUAUCUAUGAUAUACUUUUAUGUAGUCUUUUGUAUGUUGACUAUGUGCUAUUCUGAUUCAUUAGGUAAGUUUCUUUUCUUUUCUUUUUAGUAGUCGUGAAAGGUGCCAAAUUGGCAGAGGCUCACGUUUCUUCUCUUUACACCAAACAGGUAUUAUAAAGAAAGUAAAUCUUUCGAAGGCCAGUUAAAUCUCCAUGCUGAUUUUUGGCUUUAUAAUUUGAUUAGUAAAUUUUUGCCCAAUGUUUCAAAAAUUACUGUAAAAUUCCCUUAUAAUGUACCUGAAAUUACCUGCUGUGUUUAUUUCAGCCCAUAAACAGCUAACCAGAAACACCUAGCCUAAAUUUCCUAGUAACCUAGAAUUUUAAAUGUUUUAACCAUGUUGCUUUAAAUGAAUCAGAAGACAAGUAUGUUUCAGUUUGAUCUGACAGUAUGAAGAUUAAAUAUUACCAACAUUCAUUAGGUUCAGAAAUUAUACUUUUAUAGACAUUAGUAUGGUUUUAAUUAUAAAUAUUACUUAUUAUGGAUUUUUAUGGGUAUGUUUAUAAAUACUCAGUCUCUGUGUUGUACUUUUUACAUGUUCUUUUAUUUAAAGUAUUCAUUAAUUUUAAGUAGUCAUUAAUUCCCAUUUUACAGAUAAGGAAACUUAGGCUAAUAGAAAUGGAGUGAUUUACCCAAAGUCAUGGCUCAUGAGUGGAAGGACUAGAUUUGAAUAUAAGCAUUCUGAUUCAGUGCCAACUUUUUGUUUUGUUUUUGGUACUGGGGAUUGAACCCAGGAGUGCUUCACCACUGAGCUACAUCCCCAGAUUCCUCCCAACCCCCACCCCCUACCUUUUUUUUUGUUUAUUUGUUUUGUUUUGUUUUGUUUUUGAGACUAGCUCUAAGUUGCUGAAGGCCAAACUAAGUUGCUGAAACUGGCCUUAAACUUGGGAUCCUUUUGCCUCAACCUCACGAGUAACUGGGAUUACAGGCGUCCCCACUUGUGCCAGCCCCCCCCCCCCCAAAAAAAAAAAAUUAAACUACAUUACUACUUCUUUCCUAAUUAUUGAUAAGUCAUGAGAUUGUGUUUAUAGUAAAUGUGGUAGUUCUUAUCUCAGAGAUACUGCACAAAAUUAAUAUAUUUAUUUGUCAUCAGGAAGUUCAUACUUUUACCCUCCCUUUUAAUGCAGCACUUUGUUCAUAUCUUUGUUACAAUACUUACGUUGUAAUAUAAUUUAUCUGGUUAUAUGUUACAAGCUCCUCUAGGAAGGGGACCAUGUCUUAUUCAUCUUUUUAUCUCUACUGCUUAUCAUAAAGCCUGGCUCAUGUGGGCACUCAAAUGUUUGUUGGAUAAUAUAGUGAAUGAAUGCAUAUUUAAAUCUCCAGUAAUGGGGUGACAAUUACCUCCCUUGUUAAUUCUUAUCAAUUUUACAAAAAUUUCUUUUGAUGGUCUUUUCAGUCACUGAGACCAUUUUGCUAAACAGUGGAUACAGUUAAACUUCUCUUUAGAGGGUUUAUACUUACAGUCUUAGUGAAAUUUCCACAAUAAUUAGUAAGGCAUUAAUAUUUGGGAGUGUUAAAUGUUGUAAUAUCAGAGGUAAUAUAGCCUUUGAGUUUCUAUUAGAGAAUGUGAUUGCAAAUACUGAGAAUCACCAAUCUAGUCCAUCCCACUAAUUUUUUAUAUCCAAAGGUGACCUAGUAUAGAAAACUGGACAAGUGUUAAGAGAUAACAGUUUUUGGUCUCAGCUCUGCAACUAACUGUGGCCUUAGACAAGUCUCUUACCUUAUCCAGGGUUGUUUCCUUGUCUGUAAAAUGAAAGGGGUUGGACUAGAUGAUCUCUAAGAUCCCUUUCAAACGUGUAGUUUCUUUGGUGCUAUUUUAGUGUUCCAAAACAAUUUAAUAUAUAUAAAUCAAUUCUUUAUGUCUGUUGUUGCUGUUGUUUCUAUCAUCUUAUCAGUGGAAACAACUUAGAUGUCGUUUUGAUAAUACAUAUAAUAUCUCUUGGUACAGUUUUAUAUGUAGACUUCCCAAAUUCCAUUCAACCUACUAAUAAGUAAAAAUUAACUUCUCUAUUCACUAGCAAACUUCCAUUUCCCUAUUAUAACUUUUCCUUUUGUUUCUAAACUCAAGGUUUAAAAAUAAAAAUAUCUGCCUGUAAUGCAGAAAGUCUCUUCAUAUGCAAAUAUGGAUUUAAAUCCUCUGUUCAUUUCAGUUUACUUUCUUUUUUUUACAAUAUGCUACCUAAAAGUAGAAACAUUUUUAAAUUCUAUAAUUCAACUAACAAGUUUUUUGCUUUACUGUGCAUAUAUGAGCUGUUGCAGGCAGAGUUGGGGAUGGGAAAAGGAUUAAGGGCAACUUAGGUUAUCUGCUUAUAAGAAAAAACAGGAAAAUUAUAUAUUACUGGUUAAAAGAUUGAUUAGGAUUACCUCAAGGGAUGGUUGAGUUGUCAUUUUACAUAUUUCAGUAUUUUAUGUCUCUGAGCAGUUGUUGUUUUAAGUGUUACUGGAUAAUUGUAACAUUAUAAAAAUUAAGUAUUUAAUUGAUGCCCAUACAUUUAAUGAAACUAUGAUGCAGGAAUGGAGAAUAUUCCAUAACUUUUGUUUUAUCGUCAUAUAAUCCAGUGUAACAACCAGUAGUGUAAAGACAAGGCUUCACUGUUUUAGCUGAUUACUUAUAACAAGUAUAGCUGAACUUAAUAGAAGAAAACAUCUUGUUACUAAAACUGGUUUUGGGGCACUGUAUUUCCAGUCUUAUUUGGAACACUAACUAUUGGGCAUAAAGGUCUUUUAAAAAAAAAGCAGUUGCUUGUUUGGUAUGUUGAAAUAUUAAUGAUUGUAUCAGAGUAUCAUACAGAUUUUAUCCAUCCAUAUUUUCUUUUUUCCCCUUACACAUAAUACAGACUAAUUAUAGAAAAUUAGAUUUAGUUCUCCUAGAAUUUACCUAAGUAUUUAUGAGCCUCUCCCCCUUUUAUAAAAAGUUUGCUAGCCUUUUAAAACAGAUGUCCUGUAUGAUUGUUAAAUUAGUUCACUUUUUUGAGCUUUCUUUCAGAACUUCUAAAAUCCUAUAAAUUAAAAAUGGAAAUUUAAUGUAGAAUUAAAUCACCACUGUAAAAUAUUUGUAAGGCAGAAGGAAAAUUUCUUUUUCCCAUAUAUUAGAAACUUAUUUUUGUUAACAUCUUGAACUGGCUAGUUCUAAGGUAUGUAUAUGAUUUUUAGAAAAGAAUAGUUCUAUUUUUUUCUCUUUGACAUUAUAUACUUAUCAAAUGAAACAGUCUUCUAAGAUAGCUACCUAAAAGUCCUAGGAAGAAAGAAAUUUUGGUGAACAUUACUCCCAUUGUCAAUAAUUUCAAAUGAAAACAUCAUACUUCUUUAGUAGAAAAACACCUAAUAUCUUGCACUUUGUUAGUAUUUUGUGCUCAUUACUUAAUUAAUUGAAAGCACUCUUAAUUUCACAUCACAUUUUUAUAUUUACUCCUUCCUAAGUCUCUCCCUUCGUGUUUCUUUAUUUCAUCCAUUCACUUUUCUUCUCAUCAUCCAAAGUUAGUCUUUUUUGGUAUACCAGACACUGUCUCAUUUUGAUGCAUUUCUUUUUGACCUUAGUACUUAGUAUAGAAUUUUAUAUCAUACAGAGUGUUUAAAGAAUGAAAUGGUAAUUGAAUGGAAUUUAAGGAAAUUAGUUACACCUUGCAAUUACUUUAAAGAAAAUUUUUAUUUUUAUUUAAAAUACCUUGGAGUUCAUGUUUUUUAAAUUUUUCUCUGCCUACCCACAUCUCUAUGAAUAUAUAACCUGAUAAGGAUCUAGAUUUCCUAACUGAAAAUUUCAGUCAGAACCAUGUUAUAGUGCUGUGAGUUUUGGAAGCUUGAUGUUUCAAAGAAACAUGAUGUAGAGAAGUUUUGUUAAAAUCACUUUAGUCCAAAGCUAGUCCUUUGUGUAAUUUGUCUGCAACUUUGAUUAUGAUUCCUUUCUCAAAAAGAUUAUUUUAAUGUUUAGAAAAGUUGAAGAUCAAUUUAUGGUGUGACUCAAUUUUUAGAAUUAUUUGCUUCUUGCAAAGUUUUUUUUUAAUAGUCUUCUCUUUUUUCAGCAGAGAGAGAUCAUCAUUGCCUGAAUUUAGUUUUGUGACUACAAGAGCAAGACCUGUUCCUGUCCGGAGACGACUGUUAAUGAUAAUAUCAUCCUAUCAUUUUGUUGCCCUUUAUCAAUUGAAUAGAUGUUUACAUGUACUAUAAUUAGCAUUUUAUCUUUACAGUACACCCGAGUCCAGAAGUAUCUGAAUGUGUGUUCUGUGUGACCUUAUUCAUAAAGGUUUUUUCCCCUUACUUUAUAGCCACUAUUUUUUUAAACACCUUAAAGAAGGAACAAGGCCUCUUAGUUUCCUAAUAUGAGUACAUUCAACCUCAGCCAAAUUGAGAAUUGUGUCUGGGAAAUCUAUAAAGCCAUGAUACUGUGUGUGUUCAUUAGCAUGAACAAUUUAUAAUGAAGAAAAUGAAUUAAAAAGUUAAGCAUAGUUUGGUUUUAAUUUUUUCUUGGUUUUAAGAUAUAUUUCUGAGAUUACAAGAGUCACUUAAAAUAAUUUUGAACAAAUGAGAUAUUUUUACACACUGUAAUGCUUGCCCAUUUCUUAAUGAAUAUACUUCAUUGCCAGCACCGCUUACCCAAAUAUUAUUUUUUUUUUAAUUCUUAGCUCUUCAAAACAAGGAGAAUAAUUUUCUUUUUGAGUAAUAAAUGAUGAUCUGUGGAUUAUAAAUAUUGAAAGAGAUCUAUUAAAUGUCCAGUUUACACAGCUUUUCCUGUUUUCUUCACUUGUAAUCAAACAUCAAAAGAUGAUCAAAGAUGAGCAAAGGGAAAUAGUAUAAUGUGUCUAACAUUGUUAAAGACUAUAUAGUUUCAGCUGCUUUAAAAAGUGCUUAGUGCUUGGUUCAGUAGCACAUAUACUAAAAUUGGAAUGAUACAGAGAAGAUUAGCAUGGCUCAUGCUCAAGGAUAACACAAAUUCGUGAAGCGUUCCAUAUUUUAAAAAAUGUGUAUACAAAUUAUUUAUAAACAAUGGCUUAGAAUUACCAAGACUAUGAUUAAAUCUCAUGUACACUCAAUAUUUUUAAAAAAAUUUUCUCAGUAUUCCUUCAUAGAUUCUUAGGCAUUUGAGCACUCAAGUCUUUAUUAGGAAAGUGAAGUUACACUGAUUCUAUUCACCAUUUUUUUUAAGUUCAUCCAGACAUACUUUUUUUGUGUGCAAAGCUGACUAUUCUACAUUAUUUUCCCCUUGAAUAUGCAUCGUGAUUGUCUUAUAAAAAAUGAAGAGAAUGUAAUAAACAUAUAAUAUUAUCUGUUUUGAUCCACAUUGGUUACACAGGCAUGGUUAAGGGAAAAGUCAUAUUGUGAAAAGUCUUCUGACAGUUAUUAACAAGGCAUUUGUUUUCUUAAACUUGACUUUUUUGAGGGGGCCGGGGGCAUUCGCAUUUACAAACUAGCAGGUAGCUAGCUACCGGAAAUUCAAAAACAUUUUCCCAGAUUAGUUUGGUACUUUUGAUUUUCAAGGAAAGACUCUCUGCCCCUAAAGUAGUAGUUCAGCUGCUAGAUUAGAACCCAAAGAACAUCUUCUGAAGAGACCCUACUUGCUCUUAAGUUUUGUUUUUUUUAAUGGAUGUGGACCAUUUACUACCACCUUCAACUUUGUCAUGGUUUUUCCCUUUGCUUUUAAAUUAAAGCAAAUUGAAUAUGCCAAUGGGAAUCAAAAGUCAAGAUGAUUUGAUUCUCAUUAAGAUCAUUGUGUUUUUUGAAAAUUGCUGUGAGAUCCAGUUGGUCAGUUAUGUAUUUAAAUCCUCAUAUGUUGAUUAAAGAUAGGUUCUCAUUUUUUAAAUUUUCUUAAAUAGGAUUCUCAUGGAGCUAUGUGUAGAUAACUGUACAGAAUCACUUUUAUGUAAUGAAUGAAGUGGUUUACCUCUGCAUGAUUGCAUUAUGGAAGCCUUUUAUAUAUCUUUAUAUUUUUCAAUAUACUUAGAUUUUACACUAUUAGCCACUCUAGUCAUGCUAUAUUUGUUUUUUUAAUAGAGUUUAUAAAUAUUUAUGCUCAAAGUACAGAUCAACUGAAUAUUUUUGGUCUUGUUUACAAGAUAAUACUUUAAAGUGAUACAGGCCCCUCAAGUGUCUUAGGAAAAAGUCGUUGGUGCUACAAAACCUUUCAUUAAUCAUUUUGAACCUGUUGUCUAGACUUUGCUAGGCUUUAAUCUGUGAUUGCUUAUGAUUUAUUCUAAUCUAGCAGCAUAAUUAUAAAAGUGGUUCACGCUGAGUCAAGUAAAGAGCCCAGCCUAUUUGAAACACCUCAUAAGUUAAGGAAAUGGUACAGAAUGACUGUACACUUAUUUGUGCCCAGCUUCCCCUAAAAGAUUAUUUUGAUAAGAAGGUUAUUAAUUUGACUAAAAUUUUAAAAAAUGUAUUCAGCAUGGCUGUUUUCUCAUAUGUCAAUUGGAAAACUUCUCUAGUACUAAAAUAUUAUGUAAUCUUACUCUGCUUCAAGUUGCCUUCUUUCACUCAACAGUAGGCAGAGUAAUUCUUGACUAUUUGCAGAAUACUUGAUGAGUUAUUAAGAGAUGUAUUAUUACAUUGUACAAGUUUUGCAUUGAUGUGUAGAGUUUUUGUUUUGUCCCCAAAUUUUAUUCCAGCACCUUAGUGAAUGUUCUUAAGAUACUAUUGUUAAGUAUCAGCAAAGCAUUCAUAUAUGUUUACUUUUGAUUCUCAGAAUCCUGAACUUGUUUUGAGUGGUACUACUUCAGAACAUACUGUCUGGCACAAGAUUUCCUUUAACAAGUGGUUUGUUUUAACUUAGUUUCUGUGGACUGCUGAAUCUAAAAACACCAAAGGAGUUUUUUCUUGUCUGAAGACUGGAUUGUUCCAGUGUUUAAUACCUGUGCCCAUAAGUAUCCCAUUUCAUGAAUGUGUGUUGGCAUGGGGAAAAAUAUUCCCUGCUCUUUGAGUGGAGCGAAAGUAAUUGGUUAAGCUGUAGCAGCUUUUUGUUUAUUUUUAAAGUGAUAAUAAAACUUGAACUUAAAAAAGGCAAAACUUGAACUAGAAACUACUCUUGUAUGCUUAGAAUGUUUAUAGUAUUACAUGGUUUAUGUGGGGUUGUCAACAUUUUUAUUAUUUAUAGUUGAAUUAUGUUUUGUUUGUUAAAUAUCCAUAAUGUUUAUUAUUUUUAUAUUUCAAAAAUUUUAAAAUAAAAUAGUCUUACUAAAAACAGUUGUUAACGUUUAGAAUUGUCCUACAUCUUGCAUCAGCUGUAUUAUUAUGAACUAGAAAGAUAUGUACCCGAUGGGCAUUAACAGUUGAGAAUUCUGAAAAUUGUCUGUACAAAGAAAUGGCUCCACAUUUUCUCUUGCUUCUUCACCCUUAUUCUUAUUUUUUUUAAUUUAAUUUUGGUUCUGGUGUGUUGAUAGCUUAAUAACUCCUCUCACAUAUGCAUACAUAAAUUUUCAUUACCCUUUUCCUCUCUAGUUUCUGCCUCUUCACUGGUGGAAGUUUUCUCUAUUCAUUUAUGGCCAACAAUUUAGGAGUGAUAAGUAUAGAAAUACUAUUAUGUCAAAGGAGGAAUUCCAUGGAUUUCUAAAAGUGAAGUAUCAAUCCCCGAGGCCAUUGAAAGCUUUCAAAUUUCUCUAACUGAAUUUUCACCUGAAGUUUUUUCCCUUCUGAUCUGAUUUGGCUUACUUUCCCAGCAUUUAGCAUGUUCAUUUCAUAUUUAAUUUUAUCAAAUGGAUUUUAUAAAAACUCUGCAAAAAUGCAUUUUCAUCU